RNAcentral lists this long non-coding RNA (79264 nucleotides) under Triticum aestivum (bread wheat). RNAcentral's name for it is "long non-coding RNA (TAES_LNC024549)". Lineage: Eukaryota; Viridiplantae; Streptophyta; Magnoliopsida; Poales; Poaceae. The record is from RNAcentral.
UGAAGAGGAGGUCCGUGCCCCGACGCGCGGCCGGUGCGUGGAUGAUGAUGAACGAUAUAGCGUACGGUUGCUGAUCCGUGCGCGCGUUUGAUCGCCGCCGCGCCCGCCGCGCGAGCAAGUCGACGACGUUUACCACCUGUUUGUGCUAUCCGACCGAGUGCGUGUUUAGACUUUUGUUGCGAACUAGUUGUCCUAGUAGUACUCUAGCAGUAUGUUUCCGUGGUCGAAGUCGGGAGAGGGUCUGGAUGCUGGAUGUACUAUGGUGUGUUCUUGUGGAUGUCUGCCCGUUUAUGAUGAAUAAAUUGCCAAGUUUGGGCGAAGUGUGCAACUGUUCUUGUGGAUGUCUCUUAUCGCUUCUGAAAUGCAGCUUGCAGAAGAGACUAGGAGUGGGCACGAUCUGAACCCAGGGGCAUCUCUUGUGUUUCUCUACAUAUAUGACUAAAAUUAAAAUUAACUUACUACGAACUUACCAAGUGACUAUGGUACAAGCAUUGAUCCCCUAUGCAAGCAUACGGUUAAUUUGUUAACAAGAGAUCUGAUGUCCAAGAGAUGGACAAUAAUGUAGUGCAACAUAGUGUUUUUAUGAAACGUUUGAAGUGAACAAACAAAGCAAUGUUUUUCCUUCUUUUCUUUUCCAUGAAGGAAAUGCUUGUCGAUGUUUCUAGUGGCUAUAUCGCCUUCGGGGUGAUGCUGUUUCAGGGAAUGACUGGAUAUUCUGUUGUUCUGUUCCGUUAUGAUUUACGGACGCGCGGUUUGUAGAUGGGGAGAUUGUUCAAAGAUCUCAAGUCUUCCCUCAAAAAAUUAAUAUCUUAGUCUCUUUUUUCUUUCCCUUUUUGAAAGGAAGAUCUCUAGUCUAGAAAGGAAAACAAAGGUGUUCCAGGCGAUGACUGAAUGCUCUGCCGCUCUGUUCUGAUGUGAUACACACACAAGCGGUUUGUUGUGAUUUACGAACUCUGCUGCUCUGUUCUGUUGUGAUAUACGUAGACACGCACGAGCGGUUUGUUGUGAUUCACAGACGAGGGCUUUGUGGAUGGGGAAAUUGUUCAAAGAUAUCUCUUGUCAAGGAGAUUGCUCAAAGAUCUCUAGAAAAGGAAGACGAAAGUGGAGCCUGUGACACAAAUAGCAAAAGAUGGGCCAAAUUUAGAGCAAAUGCACCUUAAUUUUCUUCUCUUUCUAGUUCAAGGCUCUAUAAUAUUGAGGCUUAAUUAUCUCUAAUUAAGCUCUCAUGUUUUAUAGUAAGUAAAAUAGAGAAAAAAAUGUACACAACAUAUAUGGCAAUAAAGUAUCUUAUAUUUUUUAAAUAUAUAUCAAGAUUAUUUAAUAUAACUAUAUGAUAUCGAGCUAAUAGCGAGCGAGCAGUGGCUCAACUCGUUUCUCCGUCGAGCUACUUAAAGUGGUCAUAUUAAGCUCAUUUCUUUUAGUUGGCUCAACUCGUUUCUCCGUCGAGCUACUUAAAGUGCUCAUAUUAAGCUCAUUUCUUUUCGAGUCGAUCUGGGGUCAAGCCAAAAAACGAGUUCUUUUCGUGUCGAUCUUGGGUCAAAUCAAUAUACGAGUUGAUCUCGAGCGGCUCAAGCAAGCCAAAAUACGAGUUAAUCUCGAGCGGCUUAUGAACCUCGAGCUUUUCUUGCAGCCCUACUUGUGUCAACGGUUCGGUGCUCAAUAGUGCAUGUGGGCUCUUCUUUGUAGUCAUGACUUGGGAUGUUAUGGUGAUCUUGCUGGCGUGGUGCUUCGAGGAGCCGUCAGCGUCGAUUUGAUUGUGUCCAUGGUCGAGUUGGUGUGGUUGCCCUGGUCUAGAUAUGCCUUGAUGGCGGUGAUCCAGAUUUGGUCGGUGUCAGAGUAUUUUUCGACAGAUCUUGAUAGGUUAUCGCUUGACGAGUAGAUCGGAUGGCAACAUGUACAAAGGUUCAGGCCCUCGGUAGACGAGAUAAUACUCUAAUCCCGUUGCUCGUGUAUAAUGAUUGUACACGGGUUGCAAAAGGUCGAGGGAUUGAGCAAAGCUCUAAGGUUUUUGUCUCCAUUCGACUAGCCUAGCCCCGACUUAUAUGGAUUUCAGGGACUAGGGUUACAAGACCUAAGUCGGUAAGGAGUCCUCGAGAUGUCGGUUUCCUUAUCUUGUAAUCCAAGCCUUCCAUACACAUAUGUUAUAAGGCCAUGGGUCGGUUUGAUUGUCCCGUGAUAUAAUUGACCUUAGGGCCCAGAACGGCCCCAAGGUUAGGCACCCUUUGUUUUGUAACACCGUCAGUCGGCUUGGUGGUGGUGGUGUUGUAGAAUGGGGUGCAACGACCUUUUGCGGCGGCCUUGCUCGGCCCCGACACCCUCACAAGGCUAGGAGCGUUGCGUGGGUUUAGAACUGCGUCUCUAGAUCCAGGCAUGGUGGGCCCUAGGUUGACGGGUUUGGAGAGAGCUCUCUCUAACAAGGUGGCAUUCGGUGGAGGCGUACUCUACCGUCGGUGCUUGGUCCGUGUGGGCGUGUGACCACUCUAUCUUAUGGUGGCACCCUCGCUGCACAUUGUUGCGGCCACCGAAAGGUCUUCAUGAGGGUUUCUCUCUUCGAUGUAGUGGUGACAUUCUGACAACCCACAAGUAUAGGGCUUCGUUUGUAGUCUUUUUCGAUAAGUAAGAGUGUCGAACCCAACAAUGAGCUAAAGGUAGAAUUAAUAUUCUCUCAAGUUCUAUCGACCACCGAUACAACUCCACGCACACCAACAUUUACUUCACCUAAAACAAGAAAUAAAACUAGUCUGCAAGAAAAAAAUAGAAAUACUUUACAAGAUAAUAAAAGUUAGUUGUUUGAUAGAGAGUUUUUGGAGAACAAUGAGAAGGAUUGUCCAUAGGCAAUUGAAUAUAACACGUGGGAUAACUAUCAUAUGCAUCAGGGAGAGGCGUAAGCUAACACACUUUUCGUACUUGGAUCACUUGCACUUAUGACUGGAACUCUAGCAAGCAUCCGCAACUACUAAAAACAUUAAAGUAAAACCCAAUCACAACAUUAAGUGUAAAGUCCCCUUUAAUCUCAUACGCAACAACCCACUUACUCGGGUUUAACCUUCUGUUACUCGCAACCCACUAUAAGCGAAUCAUGAACAUAUUGCAAUACCCUAAAGCGGGAAUUCCCACACGUGUGUGUGGAACGGAGGGCACCAUAGAACAACAACAUACUAACAUACAACUUAUAUCAAUCACACCAUACCAUAAUUAACCCCUAGGACAAAAGGGUCUACUCAAAAAUCAUAGAGGUGCAACACAUCAUUGGAUAAAUAUGUAUAGCAUAAAUCACCAUGUUCAAGUAGAGAUUACAAUGCGAAAAGAGAUGUUACACCGCUACAUGGGGGGAGGGGUUGUUGUUGACGGUGACGAAAUUGUUCAUGUAGAUCGUCGUUAGGAUGGUUCCCCCGCCAGCGCUCCGGCGGCACCGAUAGAGAGGGGGGAGAGAGCCUUCCUCCUUCUUCUUCUUCUUCUUGCUUGGCCUUCCCCUAUAUGGGAGAAGGAUUUCCUUCUCCGUUCCUCCGCCUCCCCGGCCCCCGAGCGGCGGGAUCCCCUCCACAUUGGAUCUCUCUCUCUCUCUUUUCUUCUCUGUUUCGCGUCUCUAUUUUCUGGCCGAACACCGUUUCUUAAAUAUCAGGAGAUCCGCAACUCCGAUCGGGCUGAAAUUUUAACACGAUUUUUCCAGAUAUUAGAUUCCUUGCGCCCGAAGGACAUCCCCAACCAACCUCCGAGGAAGCCACAAGUUCUCCUGGCGCGCCCUAGGGGAGGUUCCCCUUGAUCUUGUGAAGCCCAUCGGCCCACCUGGCAUUGAAUCUGAAGGAAAUAUGCCCUAGAGGCAAUAAUAAUGUUGUUAUUUAUAUUUCCUUAUAUCAUGAUAAAUGUUUAUUAUUCAUGCUAGAAUUGUAUUAACCGGAAACUUAGUACAUGUGUGAAUACAUAGACAAAUAGAGAGUCCCUAGUAUGCCUCUACUUGACUAGCUCGUUAAUCAAAGAUGGUUAAGUUUCCUAGCCAUAGACAUGUGUUGUCAUUUGAUGAACGGGAUCACAUCAUUAGAGAAUGAUGUGAUGGACAAGAUCCAUCCUUUAGCUUAGCACUAUGAUCGUUUAGUUUAUUGCUAUGUCUUUCUUCAUGACUUAUACAUGUUUCUAUGACUAUGAGAUUAUGCAACUCCCGAAUACCGAAGGAACACUUAGUGUGCUAUCAAACGUCACAACGUAACUGGGUGAUUAUAAAGAUGCUCUAUAGGUGUCUCUGAUUGUGUUUGUUGAGUUGGCAUAGAUCGAGAUCAGGAUUUUUCACUCCGUGUAUCGGAGAGGUAUCUCUGGGCCCUCUCGGUAAUGCACAUCACUAUGAGCCUUGCAAGCAAUGUGACUAAUGAGUUAGUUACGGGAUGAUGCAUUACGGAACGAGUAAAGAGACUUGCCGGUAACGAGAUUGAACUAGGUAUGAUGAUACCGACGAUCGAAUCUCGGGCAAGUAACAUACCGAUGACAAAGGGAACAACGUAUGUUGUUGUGCGGUUUGACCGAUAAAGAUCUUCGUAGAAUAUGUGGGAGCCAAUAUGAGCAUCCAGGUUCCGCUAUUGGCUAUUGAUCGGAGAUAUGUCUCGGUCAUGUCUACAUAGUUCUCGAACCCGUAGGGUCCGCACGCUUAACAUUCGAUGACGAUUUGUAUUAUGAGUUAUGUGAUUUGAUGACCGAAGUUUGUUCAGAGUCCCGGAUGAGAUCACGGACAUGACGAGGAGUCUCGAAAUGUUCGAGAGGUAAAUAUUCAUAUAUUGGAAGGUUAUAUUCGGACACCGGAAUGGUUUCGGGAAGUAUCGGAUAAGUUUCGGAGUACCGGGAGGUUACCGGAACCCCCCGGGGAAGUAAUGGGCCUUAUUGGGCCUUAGUGGAAAGGAGAGAAGGGCCACAAGGGGAGGCAGCGCCCGCCCCCAUGGGCUGGUCCGAAUUGGACAAGGAGGGCCCCCUCUUUCCUUCUCCCCUCCUCCUCCUUCCCUCUCUCCCCCUUGUUGGAAUAGGAAAGGGGGGGCCGAAUCCUACUUGGACCGGGAGUCCAAGUAGGACUCCCCCCCUUGGCGCGCCCCCCCUUGGGCCGGCCUGCUCUCCUCCCCCUUUAUAUACAUUGGAGGGGAGCACCCCAAAGGCACACCAAGUCUUCUCUUAGCCGUGUGUGGUGCCCCCCUCCACAGUUACACACCUCGGUCAUAUCGUCGUAGUGCUUAGGCGAAGCCCAGCGUCGGUAACUUCAUCAUCACCGUCGCCACACAGUCGUGCUGACGAAACUCUCCCUCGGCCUCAACUGGAUCAAGAGUAUGAGGGACGUCAUCGAGCUGACCGUGUGCUGAACACGGAGGUGCCGUAAGUUCGGUUCUUGGAUCGGUUGGAUCGUGAAGACGUUCGACUACAUCAACCGCGUUACUAAACGCUUCCGCUUUCGGUCUACGAGGGUACGUGGACACACUCUCCCCGCUCGUUGCUAUGCUUCUCCUAGAUAGAUCUUGCGUGACCGUAGGAAUUUUUUUGAAAUACUACGUUCCCCAACAGUGGCAUCCGAGCCAGGUCUAUGAGUAGAUGUUAUAUGCACGAGUAGAACACAAAGAGUUGUGGGUGAUAAUAGUCAUACUACUUACCAGCAAUGUCUUACUUUGGUUCGGCGGUAUUGUUGGAUGAAGCGGCCCGGACCGACAUUACAUGACCGCGUUCAUGAGACUGGUUCUACCGACGUGCUUCGCACAUAGGUGGCUAGCGGGUGUCAGUUUCUUCAACUUUAGUUGAAUCGAGUUUGACUACGCCCAGUCCUUGUUGAAGGUUAAAACAUCACACUUGACAAAAAAUCGUUGUGGUUUUGAUGCGUAGGUAAGAACGGUUCUUGCUAGAAGCCCGUAGCAGCCACGUAAAACUUGCAACAACAAAGUAGAGGACGUCUAACUUGUUUUUGCAGGGCAUGUUGUGAUGUGAUAUGGUCAAGACGUGAUGAGAUAUAAAUUAUUGUAUGAGAUGAUCAUGUUUUGUAACCGUUAUCGGCAACUGGCAGGAGCCUUAUGGUUGUCGCUUUAUUGUAUGAAAUGCAAUCACCAUUUAAUUUCUUUACUUUAUCACUAAGCGGUAGCGAUAGUCGUAGAAGCAAUAGUUGGCGAGACGACAACGAUGCUACGAUGGAGAUCAAGGUGUCAAGCCGGUGACGAUGGAGAUCAUGACGAUGCUUUGGAGAUGGAGAUCAAAGGCACAAGAUGAUGAUGGCCAUAUCAUGUCACAUAUUAUGAUUGCAUGUGAUGUUUAUCCUUUGUGCAUCUUAUUUUGCUUAGUACGGCAGUAGCAUUAUAAGAUGAUCCCUCACUAAAUUUCAAGGUAUAAGUGUUCUCCCUGAGUAUGCAUGAUGUCUACUACACAAUUUUAUUCUUGUAGACACGUGUUGGGCCUCCAAGCGCAGAGUUUUGUAGGACAGUAGCAAGUUUCCCUCAAGUGGAUGACCUAAGGUUUAUCAAUCUGUGGGAGGUGUAGGAUGAAGAGGGUCUCUCUCAAGCGACCCUCCAACCAAAUACAAGAAAUCUCUUGUGUCCCCAACACACCCAAUACAAUGGCAAAUUGUAUAGGUGCACUAGUUCGGCGAAGAGAUGGUGAUGAAAGUGUAAUAUGGAUGGUAGAAAUAUAUUUUUAUAAUCAGAAUAAAUAAAAACAGAAAGGUAGUAAAUAGUAAAUGGGCACAAAAACGGUAUUGCAAUGCUUGAAAACAAGGCCAAGGGUCCGUACUUUCACUAGUGCAACCUCUCAACAAUGCUAACAUAGUUGGAUCAUAUGAUUAUCCCUAAAAGUGCAAUAAAGAGUCACUCCCGAGUUCCUAUUAGCGGAGAACAAAAGAUAGGAUUUGUUUGUAGGGUACGAAACCACCUCAAAGCUAUUCUUUCCGAUCAAUCUAUCCUAGAGUUCGUACUAAAAUAAUGCAAGCUAUUCUUUCCGAUCUAUCUAAUCAAGAGUUCGUACUAAGAUAACACUAAAGCAAAUUCAUAUUCAUAAUACUCAAUCCACACAAAGAACUACAAAGAGACCCCAAAGUUUCUAUCGGAGAAAAUAUAAUAAGAACGUGCAUCAACCCCUAUGCAUAUAUUACCCCAAUAUCACCGCGGGAAUCCGCAAGUUGAAUGCCAAGAUACAUAUCAAGUGAAUCAAUAUGAUACCCCAUUUGUCACCUCAAGUAUUCAUACCGCAAGACAUACAUCAUGUGUUCUCAUCUCUGAAUAUUCAAUCCGACAAUACAAAACUUCAAAGGGUAAAGACUCAAUUCAUCACAACAAGAGUAUAGCGGGGAGAAACAUCAUAUGGUCCAUCUAUAUUAACAAAGACCAUGACAUAGAUCACUAGAGAGAGAGAUUAAACACAUAGCUACUGGUACAAACCCUCAGCCCUGAGGGUGGACUACUCCCUCCUCGUCGUGGUGGCCGCCGGGAUGAUGAAGAUGGCCACCGGAAAUGAUUGCCCCCUCCGGAAGGGUGCCGGAACGGGGUCUAGAUUGGUUUUCGUGGAUACAGAGACCUUGCGGCGGCGGAACUUCUGAUCUAGGGUAACCCGAAGGGUUUCAGAAUAUUUAGGAAUUUAUAGUGCAAAGAGGGGGUGCGGGAGGCCACCGAGGUGGGCACAACCCACCUGGGCGCACCAGGGGGCCUGGCGCGCCCUGGUGGGUUGUGCCCCCCUCGGGGCACCCCCCAGGUGCAGCUCUGGCCCAAAAAAAAUCUCCAAAAAGUUUCACGUUGUUUGGACUCCGUUUGAUAUUGAUUUCCUGCGAUGUAAGAAACAAGCAAAAAACAACAACUGGCACUGGGCACUGGGUCAAUAGGUUAGUCCCAAAAAAUGGUAUAAAGUUGUUAUAAAAUGGUUGUAAAACAUCCAAGAAUAAUAAAAUAACAGCAUGAAUACUUCAUAAAUUAUAGAUACGUUGGAGACGUAUCAGCAUCCCCAAGCUUAAUUCCUACUCGUCCUCGAGUAGGUAAAUGAUAAAAGAAAUAAUUUAUGAAGUGUGAAUGCUAGCAAAGUGCACAAGUUUGAUUAAUGAUAAUUUCAAUCACUUUUCCUAGCAUCAUAACAGCAAUUCUUUCUCAUAAAAUUUCUCAUGUUGUAGUGGUAACCAAUUCACAUGUUAAGGUUUAAACAAUGAACUCUCUUGAAACCCAACAAUCUAUGUUCUUAGUCACCAAGCAAUUGCAAUUGAACUUAUUCAAUGGAGUCUAAGUAAGAGCUCCACAUACUCAACCAUCAUAUAGUCUUCCAUGAUUGCUAACACUCACCGCAUACACAUGAGCAAAACGUUUCAACCGGACACAAAGAAAGAUAGGGGCUUAUGAUUUCGCCUCCCAACGUAUUCACCUCAAGGGUUAUGUCAACAAUAAUAACUCAUGCUACCCACAUUCAACUAGACAUAUGUGCCUAGAUCUUUCCUCACUUGCCAAAGGAGAAAAAUAAAAAAGGAAUAGAGAGAAAAACUUUGACUCUUUGCAUAAAAGUAAAUACUGAAAAGUAAAAGAUAGGCCCUUCGCAGAGGGAAGCAGAGGUUACCAUGCGCUUAUUUAUUUGUAUGCUCAAUCCCUUAGUGCAAAAGAAUAUCACGUUGUAUUGCCCCUUAAGAUGUCAACCUUUAUUAUGUAGUCUGUCACUUUUAUUAUUUGCCAUCCAAGUUCGUACAACGCUCAAUUUUCUCUUACACUAAAUGAUCUAACACUUUUAGAAGCAAUUUUUAUUGCCUUUUUGCACCGAUGACAACUUACUUGAAGGAUCUUGCUCAAUCCUUAGGUAGGUAUGGUGGACUCUUGAAAAUAAGAUUUGGGUUUAAGGGAUUUUGGAUGCACAAGUAGUAUCUCUACUUGGUGCGGAAUUUUUGGCUAGCAAAGAUGGGGGGCAAGCACCACAUGUUAAAGGAUCUAUGACAAUAUGACUUCUAUGUGAAUAUGAGCAAACAUAAAUCAUUACGUUGUCUUCCUUGUCCAACGUCAACAAUUUUGGCAUAUAAUAUUUUGAUGGGGGCUCACAAUCACAAAAGAUUUCCACGAUAGUGUAUUUGCAUGUGAAAGUUCUCUUCCUUAUACUAAUUAUUCGUGAAUUGCUUGUAUGACCAAUAUUGUGAUUGUCAAGCCUCAAAAGAUUUCACUUUCUAAACCCAAUGUGAAGCUACCACUAGACAUGAUAUGAUUUCAACUUCAUGACAUUCAAUUUAUUCAACAAUUUACUCAUAGGAUAUAAGUGAAGCACAAGAGUAAAUGACAAACUACUCCAAAAAGAUAUAAGUGAAGAUCAUGCGAGUAGUUAAGUAAAUAGAUAGCUAUGUGAGGACUCUCCCUUAUUUAAAAGUUUCAGGUCUAAGUAUUUUAUUAAAAAAGCAAGCAAAAACAAAAUAAAAUGACAUUCCAAGAAUAGCACACAUCAUGUGAAGAAGCAAAAACUUAGGUUCAACCGAUACUAACCGAUAAUUGUUGAAGAAGAAAGGUGGAAUGCCUACCGGGGCAUCCCCAAGCUUAGAUGCUUGAGACUUCUUGAAAUAUUAUCUUGGGGUGCCUUGGGCAUCCCCAAGCUUGAGCUUUUGUGUCUCCUUAAUUCCUCUCAUAUCACGGUUUUCCUAAAUCUCAAAAACUUCAUCCACACAAAACUCAACAAGAACUCGUGAGAUAAGUUAGGAUAAACCAAUGCAAAAACCUUAUCAUUCUCUACUGUAGCAAAUCACUAAAAUUAUUAUUCAACAUUUCAUACUAAAUGCCUCUGCAUAUUUAGUAGUCCUAUCCUCAAAUAGAAUCAUUAAACAAGCAAACAUAUGCAAACAAUGCAAACAAAACAGCAAUCUGCCAAAACAGUACAGUCUGUAAAGAUUGCAAGAGUUUCAAUACUUUCCUAACUCCAAAAAUAAUGAAAAUUUACCACACUAUAUAAAAUUUAUCAGAGCUUAUUUUGCAAAAAGUUUCAGCAUUUUACCACAUUCUGACUUUUCUGGGGAUUUUUUGCAACACUGAUAAACUUUCUGUUUUCAAACAACAACAUGUAGACUUGUAAAAUAAGCAUGACAAAGGCUAUACUUGACAUUUCUAUUGAAAAGAAAGAUGCAAAAUGCUACCUCUUGAGCAUGCGUUGGUUUUCCCUUGAAGAGGAAAGGGUGAUGCAGCAAAGUAGCAUAAGUAUUUCCCUCAGUUUUUGAGAACCAAGGUAUCAAUCCAGUAGGAGACUACACGCAAGUCUCUAUUACCUGCACAAACAAUCAAGAACCUUGUGAUACGUCUCCAUCGUAUCUACUUUUCCAAACACUUUUGCCCUUGUUUUGGACUCUAACUUGUAUGAUUUGAAUGGAACUAACCAGGACCGACGCUGUUUUCAGCAGAAUUGCCAUGGUGUUAUUUUUGUGCAGAAAUAAAAGUUCUCGAAAUGACCUGAAACUUCACGGAGAAUUUUUCGGAAUUUAUAAAAAAUACUAGCGAAAGAAUCAAGAACAGGGGGCCCACACCCUGUCCACGAGGGUGGCUGCGCCUGCCCCCUGGGCGCGCCCCCUGCCUCGUGGGCCCCCUGGUGCUCCACCGACCUCAACUCCAUCUCUAUAUAUUCACGUUCGGGGAGAAAAAUCAGAGAGAAGGAUUCAUCGCGUUUUACGAUAUGGAGCCGCCGCCAAGCCCUAAUCUCUCUCGGGAGGGCUGAUCUGGAGUCCGUUCGGGGCUCCGGAGAGGGGAAUCCAUCGCCGUCGUCAUCAUCCGCCUUCCUCCAUCACCAAUUUCAUGAUGCUCACCGCCGUGCGUGAGUAAUUCCAUCAUAGGCUUGCUGGACGGUGAUGGGUUGGAUGAGAUUUAUCAUGUAAUUGAGUUAGUUUUGUUAGGGUUUGAUCCCUAGUAUCCAUUAUGUUCUGAGAUUGAUGUUGCUAUGACUUUGCUAUGCUUAAUGCUUGUCACUAGGGCCCGAGUGCCAUGAUUUCAGAUCUGAACCUAUUAUGUUUUCAUGAAUAUAUGCGAGUUCUUGAUCCUAUCUUGCAAGUCAGUAGUCACCUACUAUGUCUUAUGAUCCGGCAACCCCGAAGUGACAAUAAUCGGGACCACUCCCGGUGAUGACCGUAGUUUGAGAAGUUCGUGUAUUCACUAAGUGUUAAUGCUUUGGUCCGGUACUCUAUUAAAAGGAGGCCUUAAUAUCCCUUAGUUUCCAAUAGGACCCCGCUACCAUGGGAGGGUAGGACAAAAGAUGUCAUGCAAGUUCUUUUCCACAAGCACGUAUGACUAUACUCGGAAUACUUGCCUACAUUAUAUUGAUGAACUGGAGCUAGUUCUGUGUCACCCUAUGUUAUAACUAUUGCAUGAAGAAUCGCAUCCGACAUAAUUAUCCAUCACUGAUCCAAUGCCUACGAGCUUUUCACAUAUUGAUCUUUGCUUAGUUACUUUACCGUUGCCACUGUUACAAUUAUUACAAAACCGCUACUGUUACUUUUGCCACCGUUACCGUCACUUCCAUACUACUUUUCUACUAAAUACUUUGCUGCAGAUAUUAAGUUAUCCAGGUGUGGUUGAAUUGACAACUCAACUGCUAAUACUUGAGAAUAUUCUUUGGCUCCCCUUGUGUCAAAUCAAUAAAUUUGGGUUGAAUAGUCUACCCUCGAAAAUUGUUGCGAUCCCCUAUACUUGUGGGUUAUCAAGACUAUUUUCUGGCGCCGUUGCCGGGGAGCAUAGCUCUAUUCUUUGAGUCACUUGGGAUUUAUAUCUGCUGGUCACUAUGAGGAACUUGAAAGACGAAAAAACCAAGAUUUAUCCCUCAACUACAAGGGGAGGUAAGGAACUGCCAUCCAGCUCUGCACUUGAUUCUCCUUCUAUUUUGAGUAAACUUGUGACACCUAAACCUGCUUCUGCUAUUAAUUCUGAUAUGUCGCAUGUUAUUGAUGAUGCCACUUCUGCUAUGCAUGAUGCUUUUGGUGAAACUACUUCUAUGCUUGAUACUACUGUGCCAUGAACAACUUGCUAGGGCUAGAGAGAAUGAAAUUACUGAAACUGAUAAUAUUGAUGAAAGUGAUGAUGAAGAUUCUCCCCCUAGAUAUGAAUUGCCUGUUGUGCCUGAGGGUUAUGUUAUGGACGAAGAAACUGCUAGAGAUUUUCUUGCUUGCAAUGAUAGAUAUGAUCUUAAGAAAUUAUUAGCUAAGCUGAAAGAAAAAUCUUUGAAUGCUAGAAUGAAAUAUGACCCUGCUUUUGCUACUUCACCUAUCUGUAUUUCUGAUAAGGAUUAUGAUUUCUCUGUCGACCCUGAGAUAAUUACUUUGGUUGAAUCUGAUCCUUUUUAUAGCUAUGAAUCUGAAACUGUUGUGGCACAUCUUACUAAAUUAAAUGAUAUGGCCACCCUAUUCACUAAUGAUGAGAAAACUCGUUACUACUAUAUCCUUAAAUUAUUUCCGUUCUCAUUAAAGGGUGAUGCUAAAACAUGGUUUAAUUCUCUUGAUCCUGGUUGUGUGCGUAGUCCCCAGGAUAUGAUUUAUUACUUCUCUGCUAAAUAUUUCCCGGCUCAUAAGAAACAAGCUGCUUUAAGGGAAAUAUAUAAUUUUGUGCAAAUUGAAGAAGAGAGUCUCCCACAAGCUUGGGGGAGGCUUCUCCAAUUACUUAAUGCUUUGCCUGAUCAUCCUCUCAAGAAAAUUGAAAUACUUGAUAUCUUUUAUAAUGGACUAACCGAUGCUUCCAGAGACCACCUGGAUAGUUGUGCUGGUUGUGUUUUCAGGGAAAGAACUGUUGAUCAAGCUGAAUUGCUAUUGAAUAAUAUGUUGACUAAUGAAAAUAAUUGGACACUUCCUAAACCAACUCCUAAGCCAACUCCGAAGAAAAGGGGUAUUCUAUUUCUCAGUCCUGAAUAUGCAAGAGGCAAAGAAAUCUAUGAAAGAAAAGGGUAUUAAAGCUGAAGAUGUUAAGAGUUUACCACCUAUUAAAGAAAUACAUGGUCUUGAUAACCCGACACAGGUAGUAAAGGUAAAUUCUCUCUAUAGAUAUGAUAAAGUUGAAAUACCGUCUACUAAGUUUGCUAGCCAAUGCUUAGAUGAGUUUGAUAAUUUUAUUGUUAAACAAGAAAACUUCAAUGCUUAUGUUGGUAGACAAUUGAAACGUAAUGCUUAUAUGAUUGAACACUUGAGUGAUUAUAUGUCUAGAGUUAAAGAUGAACUUAAACUCAUUAGUAAACAUGCUUCUAUAGUUACCACUCAAGUAGAGCAAGUGCUUAAAGCUCAGAAUGAUUUGCUCAAUUAAUUAAAUAAUAAGAAAAAUGAUAAUGCUGUUAGAGUUAUGACUAGAGGGGGUAAAAUGACUCAGGAACCUUUGUAUCCUGAGGGCCACCCUAAGAGAAUUGAGCAAGAUUCUCAGAGAACUAAUGUUGAUGCACCUAGUCCUUCUAAGAAGAAGAAAAAGAAAAAUGAUAGGACUUUGCAUGCUUCUAGUGAACCUGUUGUAGACACACCUGAGAAUCCCAAUGAUAUUUCUAUCUCUGAUGCGGAAACACAAUCUGGUAAUAAACAUGAACCUAGUGAUAAUGUUAAUGAUGAUGUUCAUGUUGAUGCUCAACCUAGCAAUAACAAUGAUGUAGAGAUUGAACCUGCUGUUGAUCUUGAUAACCCACAAUCAAAGAAUCAACGUUAUGAUAAGAGAGACUUCGUUGCUAGGAAGCAUGGUAAAGAACGAGAACCAUGGGUUAGAAACCCAUGCCCUUUCCUCCUAAACCAUCCAAGAAAAAGGAUGAUGAGGAUUUUGAGUGCUUUGCUGAAAUGAUUAGACCUAUCUUUUUGCGUAUGCGUUUGACUGAUAUGCUUAAAAUGAACCCUUAUUCUAAGUAUAUGAAAGAUAUUGUUACAAAUAAAAGAAAGAUGCCGGAAGCUAAAAUAUCCACCAUGCUUGCUAAUUAUACUUUUAAAGGUGGAAUACCUAAGAAACUUGGAGAUCCAGGAGUACCAAAUAUACCAUGCUCCAUUAAAAGAAACUAUGUUAAAACUGCUUUAUGUGAUCUUGGAGCUGGUGUUAGUGUUAUGCCUCUCUCUUUAUAUCGUAGAAUUGAUCUGAAUAAGUUUACACCUACUGAAAUAUCUUUGCAAAUGGCCGAUAAAUCAACUGCUAUACAUGUCGGUAUUUGUGAGGAUGUGCCUGUCAUGGUUGCAAACGUUGCUAUCUUAAUGGACUUUGUAAUUCUUGACAUUCCCGAGGACGAUAGUAUGUCGAUUAUCCUUGGUAGACCCUUUUUGAAUACUGCAAGGGCUGUUAUUGAUUGCGACAAAGGCAAUGUCACUUUUCAUGUUAAUGGUAAUGAGCAUACAGUACACUUUCCGAGGAAACAACCUCAAGUCCACAGUAUCAAUUCUAUUGGAAAAAUGCCAACGAUUACUAGUGGAGGUUUUGAAUUUCCUCUUCUUACUGUCAAGAAGAAAUAUGAUAUUCUUAUUGUUGGGGACGUGCAUAUCCCCGUUGAGGUAACCUAAUGCUAUUCAAAAAUUCUCUGGUUUCAUGCAAUUCGGAAUGAGUUUGUUAACAAGACUUGAUCAACCUUGUUAGUGGAUUCCUUUUGAUGAGCAUGAGAUGGAUGAAGUUAGAAAGCACAACCUUCUGUACCCUCCUUUUACUUUCUGUUAUUUAGAUUAAAUAAAGCAAAAAUAGUAUUUUUGUCUGUUUUCUGAAUUAUCCUUGCAAUAAAAAAAUACCCCAAAAAUAAAAGUUCUCCAAAUGCCCCGAAAAUGAAAUAUGAUUUUUUGUAGAAUAUUUAAGAAUAUCUGGCACUGAGAACACACCAGGGGGAGCCACCACCUGGCCACGAGGGUCCAGGGCGCGCCCUACCCCCUGGGCACGCCCCUGCCUCGUGGGCCCCACGUGGCCCCCUCCACUUAUUCCAGCAGCCACACACUUCGUCUUCCUCCAGAAAAAAAUCACCACACAGCUCAAACUCGUGUUCUAGCUCGUCUUGCUGCGAUUUUUGAUCUCCUUGCUCAAAGCUCCAUUCACAAAACUACUUUGGGGGAUUGUUCUUCGGUAUGUGACUCCUCCAAUGGUCCAAUUAGUUUUUGUUCUAGUGCUUUAUUCAUUGCAAAUUUUUGCUGCUUAGGUGACCCUGUUCUUGAGCUUGCAUGUCAAAUUUAUUUUUCCCAAGUAGUUUUAAUGCAUGAUAUAGUCUCUAGGCACUUGUGGGAGUAGUUGCUAUCAAUAUUGCUGAGUUUGGUUCACUUUUAUUUUGAGUCACUAAAAAAUUUAGAAAUUUUUGAGAAGAAGAAAUGUGUUUUGGAAAAUGUACCAAGGUGGUUCUUCAAGGAAUUGCCUCCUACUUAUUUAGAUUAUAAUGCUAUGGGUCGUCAUCAGUUUGUUGAGAGGAAUGAACAGUUCCUCCAACACCGACUAAUCUUUGACAGACGCCGCACUAUCCAUGUUGCUCUCCCCGCUCCUGCUUUCUUUGACUUUCAGGCAAAAAGGAGAUAUGUUAUAACCAGGGAGGAGGCGAACGAGUACGAGAGGAGGACGGAGGCAUCUCUCCUCCAAGCUGCAACUCUUGAGGCAGUAGCUGCUGCAUCUCAGUACGACCCUACUUACAACUUCGGAUAUCCGCCAGGCCAUCCAUGGGCAUGGACCAACUUAGGCCAAAAGCCUAAGCUUGGGGGAGUACGUAUUUCUCACCGACAUUACAUUCAUGUUGACACACUCAUGCCAGUUGUCGGUGCUCAUACUUUUUCAUUGUACUAUCCAUGCUAGUUUAUUUUAUUUUUAAGUUUUCUUCUUGUGUGUUUGAAUAACCUUAAGAAAACAAGAAAAUCUAGUUGUAGCUUUUAGUUAGUUUACUUUCCAUGCCUGUAGUAGUAAUAAUUAAAAGAAAACCCAAAAAGAUUUCUUGUUCUUCUUUUGCUUGUUGGGAGAUUUCCCGUGUAAAUAGUUUUAUUUCUUUUCUUUUCUUUGGGGGUAGAGAUGAGAAGACCAUAAUUAAAAUGUUGAAGUGGCUCUUAUAUGCAUUAUUGUUGAUUUAACAAAGAGCCCAUAUUACCUUGUCUUCUCCCUUGUAUUAAAUGCUUGCAUAUUCCAGCUUAGUCCAAUGCACAUGCACUAUUAUUAUUAUCCACACAGUUCGGUUGUGCAAGUGAAAGGCAAUAAUGACGAUAUGAUGGACUGAUUGAGAUGAGAGAAGCUGGUAUGAACUCGACCUCUCUUGUUUUUGUAAAUAUGAUUAGUUCAUCGUUCUUGAUUCAGCCUAUUAUGAAUGAAACAUGUUUGUAAUGACAGUUAGAUAUUAUAGUUGCUCAUGCCAUGCUUGAUUAGCUAGGAGUUUAUAAUGGUUUACCUUGCGUGCCAACAUGCUAUUAAAAUGGUUGUGAUGUGGCAUGAUAGGGUGGUAUCCUCCUUUGAAUGAUUCAAGUGGCUUGACUUGGCACAUGUUCACGCAUGCAGUUGAAACAAAAUCAACAUAGCCUCCACGAUAUUUAUGUUCAUGGUGAAUUACAUCCUACUCAUGCUUGCACUCAGUGUUGAUUAAUUUUAAUGCAUGUUCAUGACUGUUGUCGCUCUCUAGUUGGUCGCUUCCCAGUCUUUUUCUAGCCUUCACUUGUACUAAGUGGGAAUACUGCUUGUGCAUCCACUUCCAUAAACCCCAAAGUUAUUCCAUAUGAGUCCACCAUACCUUCCUAUAUGCGGUAUCUACUUGCCGUUCCAAGUAAAUUUGUAUGUGCCAAACUCUAAACCUUCAAAUGAAAUUCUGUUUUGUAUGCUCGAAUAGCUCAUGUAUCAACUAGGGCUGUCUGUAUCUUCCAUGCUAGGCGGGUUAUUCUCAAGAGUGGACUCCGCUCCUCAUUCAUGAAAAAAUGGCUGGUCACCGGGAUGCUCAGUCCCAUGCUCAAACCAAAUCAAAAUAAUUGCAAACAAAACUCCCCCAGGAUUGUUGUUAGUUGGAGGCACCCUUUGUUUCAGGCAAGCCAUGGAUUGAUGCUUGUUGGUGGAGGGGGAGUAUAAACUUUACCAUUCUGCUUGGGAACCGCCUAUAAUGUGUGUAGCAUGGAAGAUAUCGAGAUCUCUCGGUUGUUAUGUUGAGAAUGAAAGUAUGCCGCUCAAAAUAUUAUUUAUCUCUAUUUCAAAAUCGAGCUCUGGCACCUCUACAAAUCCCUGCUUCCCUCUGCGAAGGGCCUAUCUAUUUACUUUUAUGUUGAGUCAUCAUCCUCUUAUUAAAAAGCACCAGCUGGAGAGCACCGCUGUCAUUUGCAUCCAUUAGCAUUAAUUUAUGUUGAGUAUGACCAUGACUGGAUCUCUUUUACCAUGAAUUACAAUGUUUAGUCAGUCCUUGAUCUUCAGAGGUGCUCUGCAUUUAUGUUUUGCGAUCUCAGAAAGGGCUAGCGAGAUACCAUCUUGUUAUAUCAUAUUAUGAUUGUUUUGAGAAAGUGUUGUCAUACAAGAUUUACUAUUAUUGCUCGCUCGUUGAUUAUGCCAUUGACAUGAGUAAAUAUGAGACCUAAGUGUUAUUGUGAAUAUGGUUAGUUCAUAAUCUUUGCUGAAAACUAGAAUGCUGGCUUUACAUAUUUACAACAACAAGAGCAAACAGAGUUUGUAAAAGUUUUUCUUUAUCACUUUCAGUUUAUCAACUGAAUUGCUUGAGGACAAGCAAAGGUUUAAGAUUGGGGGAGUUGAUACGUCUCCAUCGUAUCUACUUUUCCAAACACUUUUGCCCUUGUUUUCGACUCUAACUUGUAUGAUUUGAAUGGAACUAACCCGGACUGACGCUGUUUACAGCAGAAUUGCCAUGGUGUUAUUUUUGUGCAGAAAUAAAAGUUCUCGGAAUGACCUGAAACUUCACGGAGAUAUUUUUGGAAUUUAUAAAAAAUACUGACGAAAGAAUCAAGACCAGGGGGCCCACACACUGUCCACGAGGGUGGGGGGUGCGCCUGCCCCCUUGGCGCGCCCCUGCCUCGUGGGCCCCCUAGUGCUCCAUCGACCUCAACUCCAACUCUAUAUAUUCACGUUCAGGGAGAAAAAAAUCAGAGAGAAGGAUUCAUUGUGUUUUACGAUACGGAGCCGCCGCCAAGCCCUAAUCUCUUCGGGAGGGCUGAUCUGGAGUCCGUUUGGGGCUCCGGAGAGGGGAAUCCGUCGCGGUCGUCAUCAUCAACCUUCCUCCAUCACCAAUUUCAUGAUGCUCACCGCCGUGCGCGAGUAAUUCCAUCGUAGGCUUGCUGGACGGUGAUGGGUUGGAUGAGAUUUAUCAUGUAAUCGAGUUAGUUUUGUUAGGGUUUGAUCCCUAGUAUCCAUUAUGUUCUGAGAUUGAUGUUGCUAUGACUUUGCUAUGCUUAAUGCUUGUCACUAGGGCCCAAGUGCCAUGAUUUCAGAUCUGAACCUAUUAUGUUUUCAUGAAUAUAUGUGAGUUCUUGAUCCUAUCUUGCAAGUCAAUAGUCACCUACUAUGUGUUAUGAUCCGGCAACCCCGAAGUGACAAUAAUCGGGACCACUCCCGGUGAUGAUCGUAGUUUGAGGAGUUCGUGUAUUCACUAAGUGUUAAUGCUUUUGUCUGGUACUCUAUUAAAAGGAGGCCUUAAUAUCCCUUAGUUUCCAAUAGGACCCCGCUGCCACGGGAGGGUAGGACAAAAGAUGUCAUGCAAGUUCUUUUCCAUAAGCACGUAUGACUAUACUCGGAAUACUUGCCUACAUUAUAUUGAUGAACUGGAGCUAGUUCUGUACCCGGAAAAGGCCCCAAGAUGGGAUCUCACGGGUACAGAAGGUUGCGGCGGUGGAAAUAGGGUUUCGUGGUGCUCCUGGAUGUUUUCAGGGUAUAUGAGUAUAUAUAGGCGAAAGAAGUAGGUUGGUGGAGCCACGAGGGGCCCACGAGGGUGGGGGUGCGCCUACCCCCUGGCGCGCCUCCCUACCUCGUGGCCGCCUCGUUGCUUCCUUGACGUCCACUCCAAGUCUCCUGGAUUGUGUUUGUUCCAAAAACGAUCCUCGCGAAGGUUUCAUUCUGUUUGGAUUCCGUUUGAUAUUCGUUUUCUGCGAAACACUGAAAUAGGCAAAAAAACAGCAAUUUGCACUGGGCCUUCGGUUAAUAGGUUAGUCCCAGAAAUAAUAUAAAAGUGCAUAAUAAAGCCCAUUAAACAUCCAAAACAGAUAAUAUAAUAGCAUGGAAUAAUCAAAAAUUAUAGAUACAUUGGAGACGUAUCAAGCAUCCCCAAGCUUAAUUCCUGCUCGUCCUCGAGUAGGUAAAUGAUAAAAACAUAAUUUUUGAUGUGGAAUGCUACCUAACAUAAUUUUCUUAGUAAUUCUCUUUAUUGUGGCAUGAAUGUUCAGAUCCGAAAGAUUCAAAACAAAUUUUUAAUAUUGACAUAAAAAUAAUAAUACUUCAAGCAUACUAACUAAGCAAUUAUGUCCUCUCAAAAUAACAUGGCCAAAGAAAGCUUAUCCCUACAAAAUCAUAUAGUUUGGCUAUGCUUCAUUUUCGUCACAAAAAAAAUGCUCUCAUCAUGCACAAUCCCGAUGACAAGCCAAGCAAUUGUUUCAUACUUUAGUAAUCUCAAACUUUUUUCAACUUUCACGCAAUACAUGAGCGUGAGCCAUGGAUAUAGCACUAUGGGUGAAAUAGAAUAUAAUGAUGGGGGUUGUGCGGAGAAGACAAAAAAGGAGAAAGUCUCACAUUGAUGCGGCUAAUCAAUGGGCUAGGGAGAUGCCCAUCAAUUGAUGUCAAUGCAAGGAGUAGGGAUUGCCAUGCAACAGAUGCACUAGAGCUAUAAAUGUAUGAAAGCUCAACAAAGGAAACUAAGUGGAUGUGCAUCCAACUUGCUUGCUCACGAAGACCUAGGGCAUUUGAGUAAGCCCAUUGUUGGAAUAUACAAGCCAAGUUCUAUAAUGAAAAAUUCCCACUAGUAUAUGAAAGUGACAAAAUAAGAGACUCUCUAUCAUAAAGAUCAUGGUGCUACUUUGAAGCACAAGUGUGGAAAAAAGGAUAGUAGCAUUGUCCCUUUUAUUUCUUUUUUUGGGCCUUUUUUUAUUUGGCCUUUCUCUUUUUUGGGGACAAUGCUCUAUUUAAUGAUGAUCAUCACACUUCUAUUUAUUUACAACUCAAUGAUUACAACUCGAUACUAGAACAAAAUAUGACUCUAUAUAAGUGCCUCCGGCGGUGUACCGGGAUGGGCAAUGAAUCAAGAGUGACAUGUAUAAUAAAUUAUGCAUGGUGGCUUUGCCACAAAUAUGAUGUCAACUACAUGAUCAUGCAAGGCAAUAUGACAAUGAUGAAGCGUGUCAUAAUAAAUUAAAUGAUGGAAAGUUGCAUGGCAAUAUAUCUCGGAAUGGCUAUGGAAAUGCCAUAAUAGGUAGGUAUGGUGGCUGUUUUGAGGAAGAUAUAAGGAGGUUUAUGUGUGAUAGAGCGUAUCAUAUCACGGGGGUUGGAUGCACAGGCGAAGUUUGCACCAACUCUCAAGGUGAGAAAGGGCAAUGCACGGUACCGAAGAGGCUAGCAAUGAUGGAAAGGUGAGAGUGCGUAUAAUCCAUGGACUCAACAUUAGUCAUAAAGAACUCACAUACUUAUUGCAAAAAUCUACAAGUCAUCAAAAACCACGCAUUACGCGCAUGCUCCUAGGGGGAUAGAUUGGUAGGAAAAGACCAUCGCUCGUCCCCGACCGCUACUCAUAAGGAUGACAAUCAAAGAACACCUCAUGUUUAAAAUUUGUCACACAACGUCUACCAACACCUCAUGUUUAAAAUUUGUCACACAACGUCUACCAACACCUCAUGUUUAAAAUUUGUCACACAACGUCUACCAUACGUGCAUGCUACGGGACUUGCAACCUUCAACACAAGUAUUUCUCAAAUUCACAACUACUCAACUAGCACGACUCUAAUAUUACCAUCUUCAUAUCUCAAAACAAUCAUCAAGUAUCAAACUUCUCAUAGUAUUCAAUGCACUUUUUAUGAAAGUUUUUAUUAUACCCAUCUUGGAUGCCUAUCAUAUUAGGACUAGUUUUAUAGCCAAAGCAAAUUACCAUGAUGUUCUAAAGGACUCUCAAAAUAAUUUAAGUGAAGCAUGAGCGAUCAACAAUUUCUAUAAAAUAAAACCACCACUGUGCUCUAAAAGAUAUAAGUGAAGCACUAGAGCAAAAUUAUUUAGCUCAAAAGAUAUAAGUGAAGCACAUAUUGUAUUCUAAUAAAUUCUGAUUCAUCACUACAAAAAAAGACACUUCCGUGAUGAUACGUGUUUGUCACAGUAGGUCACGUUUUCUGUCAUGUAUGUACAUCCAUGAGAAAUUUUUGACAGAAUGAAGAUAGUCAUACAUGUGCUAUCGUAGAAGUGUUCCAUGACAUUACCAAAAUUAUCAUCACGGAAGUGUCCACUUCCAUGACGAUAAAUCGCGCGUCACAGAAGUGCUUUCGUCAAGGGUGACCGACACGUGGCAUCCACCGUAACGGAACGUUGUUAAGCUAUCGGGUCCGGUUUUGGAUCCAAUAACCCGUUAACAGCCCGGACCAAUGGGGAUUUUCCACGUGUAAAAUUCUGAUUGGCUGACGGAAACACGUGUCAGCUCCGCGUUGGCACAGGUGUCACUCAUCCAAUGGGCGAGAUGCGCCUAUGAUAUGUUGACACGUGGACCAGCCCAAAAGUGGCCCAUAAAGUUUAAAUGGGCCGGCCUAACUAAAGGCCUACAAGAUUUUGCGGUCCAUAAUGGGCCAGCCCAGCAAAAGGCCCACGAGAUUUUGCGUAUCAUAAUGGGCCGGCCCAGCUAAUGGCCCACGAGAUUUUGCGGGCCAUAAUGGGCCAGCCCAGCUAAAGGCCCGCGAGAUUUUGCGGACCAUAAUGGGCCGGCCCAGCUAAAGGCCCAACAUUCUCAAUUAAGGCCCGUACGGCUAGUGUCAAAUCGGCCCGUCAACGGCCUGUCCUAAACUUGUCAUCAUCGCGGCCCAUGGUCACUUCUGGCCCGUUAACAGUCUGCUAAGUAUAUGGGCCGAAUUACGACCCAGUGUAUUUCCAGCCUGUUAAAGGUCCUGCUUCAUUUGGGCCCAUUUAGAGGCCAUUGAAACUUUCGGCCCAUAAACGACCGUGAAGGAUUUGGGUCAUAUUCGGCCAUGUCUGACAUUCGGCCUGGUAGAGGCCCACUAUAGAUUUGGGCCACUUUCGGCCUGUUGUGAAUUCCGGCCUGUUAACGUCAGAUGAAAUCCAUGGGCCAUAUGUGGCCCAACGUCACAUCGGGCCCAUUAACGGCCCAUAUAAAAAUGACGAUAAUCUAGCCCGACCGAACUUCCGGCCUGUUAAAGGCCCGUGUAUUAGGUCGGCGCAUUUACGGCCCGUCCGAAUUUCGGCCUGUGAAAGAUCUGCAUCGUAAAUGGGCCCAGUCUCACUUUCGGUCUUUUAAAGGCCCAUGUUUUUUAUGGGCUCGAGAUAUUUACACCUGUAAAUGGCCUAUUGUUACUGAGGGCCCAAAUUAUGUUUAGGCCUGUUAAAGGCCCACUAUGGGCACAGGCCUACCAGAAAAAUAUGAAAUCUUAUGCUGAUUUAGGCCUAGAUACUUUUAGUGGGCUACAUGCAAAUUUCGGCCCAUAAUCGUUUUUAGCCCAAUUGGAAUGGGCCCGACAAAUGUUGGCAUGUUGGGCUCCUAUGAAGCUUUCGGACGAAUACAUUACUAAGAUAAACCUACACUAUACAAAAAUAGCGUCGUAAUUAUUGCAGCCUUUGGCAGCAUCAUAAAUGCUGUAUCACAACAAAAGGCCUGUUGGCAUAAAGUUUACAGUCCUUGCAGAUAAAAGCACCAUCAGAUGUAUAGAAGCACAGAUCAUUUGACCUGAGUGCUAAUGUUUCAGGCAGUAGAAUCUGAUGGAGCAGCACGAUCUUCACCUUUUUCCGCCAUUGCUCUUGAACAACGAAGCGAAUGUCUGAUAGUCUGGUUUCAAAACCAUUCAUAUCUUGACGACAUUUGUCAACCACUAUUCUUGUUUCCAAAACGACGUCCAUUAGGGAUUGGACUUGUGUCUAGAGCACAGAUAUAUCACUCUGUCUAGCAGGAAGAUUUUGUUCAGUAGGCGAUUUGGACGAGGUUACCUUGACAACCAACCCAGAAUUACGCAGGAAGGUGCUUUUUGCACUGUUAGUGGAGAGAUACUGACGCACUGCAGCAAGAGGUGACAUUGUGCCUGUGGUAGCCUCGUCACCUUCAGGUGGUUGUGGUUGUUCAAUCAUUUUUUCCAUAGCUUCCUGAAAGUUUGAACUUGUAGAUUAGUGUACCAGAUAAGUUACUAAUGAGACAAAAACAAACAAAGUAGGUUACACGUUUAUACAUAACUUAUUUUGGUGAACUACUGUAAUACAUUAGCAUGUAUUGUAGUGCCAACUACAUAAUAAAAUCACUUUCGGAACAUAUGUCCAUGUAGCAUGCCUACUGUAUUGUCUAUUUCCUCACAUUCAUUGACAUCUAAGGAUAAAGAGACAUGGUUUAAAGUAGGAUGAACAUAGUAUGACAUCAUUCAUAUCAUGGGCAAACAGAUAUAAAACAAACAGGCUAUUUUAUCAUUGUGUGCGCGCGUGAACAUAACAACUAGAAUACAGAUCAAGACCAAAAGAGUAUCCUUCAUCUCUUUUAAGCCAUGUAAGGUGAAAUGAUACAUUAAGACAACUGUGUAUAAAAGUGAACAGAGUAACUGACAUUGGCUGCAAACCAAGUAGUUAAAUGAACACAUCACAAUACCAAUCAGUUCAAAGGCAGGAGGAGUAAGGACUUACAACAACGGCUUGAACUGGUGUGCUCAUGCCCUUCAUCUUGCUGGUGUGGCAAUCCUUGAAGAUUUGCACUGCAUUCGGUUCAGGUUCUUUUUGGUCCGCACAGGCUUUCCUCUGUAUUUGGAACAAGUCAAUAUAGAUAUGAUAAUAUGGCACAGAAAAAAGAAGGAAGUAGCAGCUAUUUACAAGAGCCUCGCAGUGUGCAAUAUAGCUACGAGAUCCUAUUGUUUGUUGGAAUUUCACUUUAGAACGGUUGGUCUUGUUCUUCAAACAGUUAGCCUAGAAGAAGAUACACUUGUAAGGCACAUACAUAAAUACAAGUUCAAUAUGUGGUCUGAUCAAAUACAUAUAGCCUACCUGAUACUUUGGAUCAGACCAGUGUUUAACGAGGGUUGUCGAGUCUUCAUCUGUAAUAUAUUCCACUGGAGAUGUUUGGGCGAUUUCAUUGUUAGCCUUGCCUUUAAAGUGAGAUUUUCUAAGGUGGUACCGAUACUGUCGUAGAGCAGACUAAAAAACGUGAGUGCAUGCUUGUUUAGUUGCAUCAUCUUUUAGAUCCAACUUGAACCUCAUCUGUUGAAAAAAGAAUGUGAGUCUUAUUAGGAGGAAGCUAGAAAGUAUGGGACAGAGCAACACAAUAUUACUAAUUGCGAUGAAUAACAUUACUUACGGAUAAAUGGUCAAGGAAGGUGUUAAACUGGGUAUUGUCUUUCUCAUUCCUGUACUGGAUCCACGUUGGGAGGAUACGUGCAUGACACCUAACGGGAACGGCUGCCUCUGAUACUAACUUGGCUGACUCUGUAGCAUCACGUGGCCUUUUUAAACCUGCCUCAAAAUGGAUCUCCAUUCUUCCUCCUUUAGAUUUUGUUAAUCUAUCAAGCAUUAUCCCUGAUGUUUGUUUUCGCUUGCGUCGUGGUGCUAGUUCAACAACGAAUAUGGAAAGUGUUAGUGUACAUCAAACUGUGAGAGUACAUAUAAAGGAGCAUGCAACUGCAACUUGACUCGGUCAGGUACCGUCUUGGUUGAUGCUCAUGAGGUUCAUCUGAUCUUGCCAAGUCCUGUUGUGUCAGCAGUGCUUCGGAAGUAGUGUUAGGUGUGAAGGCAUCUUGGGAACUGGCCAGUUCCAGAGCAAACGAACGAGUAACUCGUUGAGAUGCUGGUACAGUUGAAGCGGAUGCUGCAGCUGGUGGAGCAGGUGAUACUGCGUUUGUAGAUUUAGCCGGUGGACUUGGACCUUCUACUACACUAUAAGUACCAGCAGAAUCUGGACGGCAGAUCCUUUUCCGUUUCACCCGACGAGUAACACCACUCCCUACUAUAUUAUUUUCCUUGCUCUUUUUUCACUUUGCCAUGUCAAGCCGUACCCACAACACAAAAGAAUAAAAUCGCUCUUCAGAACUCAUUGAUGCAUGAUACAGACAAGCAAUACUUUGAUGUAAGACAACCGUAUGAGGAUGGAAUAUGUAAGAAAAAAAGGACGGCAUGACAUAUUCACAGCUACGAUGUGUAAACUAAGCAGAAGGAUUUUCAAGAAAAUAGAAGUAAUGCAAGCUAGACACCAUAUGAAAGAUGCAACCAAUAUUACUCUGCCAAGUUAAAAGUGUCUUGUCAUAAGUGGCAAUUCGAAAAAUUAGAAGCAAUACAACGUAGAAAUCAAUGCAAGAUGCAACCACUAUCAAACUGCCAUGUUAAAAGUGUCUAAUCAUGAGUGACUGAUGCGGGAUACACAAUGGCAGUACUUUGAUGUAAGAACAUGGUAUGAUAGAUAGAUGCAGUGUAUUCUAGACACAAAACGCCAUGUCAUAUGCACAUGUAUAACGUAUGAACUCAGCAGGUGCAAUUUAAUCAAAAUAGAAGAAAUACAGGAUAGACAACAUAUGCAACAUGAAAUCAAUUAUCACACUGUCAACUUAGAGCAAGCACCUGCGAUGGUGGAGUACGGGAGAUGAACUCAUUAUGUAGACUUGGGACUUCAACUUCAUUAGCAGUAGCAGUGGCAAAUCUAGAGAGUCUCUGUUUGCGUUGGUGCAGAGGACCACCAACAUCCCCUAACUUACUCUUUUCCUUCCUAUUUUCUGAUAUUGCCUUAUGAAGUCAAAACCACAAGAAGAUGAAUAAAAUUAUCUCUGCAUAACUGGUUGAUGCAUGAUACAGACGAACACUACUUUGAUGUAAGGCAAGCGCAGGAUAGGAGGAUGGAAUAUAUACAAAAAAGACAGCGUUUCAUAUUCACACGUACGAUAGGAGGAUGGAAUAUGUAUGAAAAAACAGUAAGCGUAAGGCAUUUCAACAAAAUUAGAAGAAAUGAAAGCUAGGCACCAUAUGAACAUGCAACCAAUAUCACUCUAUCAGGUAAAAAGUGACUCGUCGUAAGUGCCAUUUCAAGAAAUUAGAAGCGGUACAAGCUAGAAGACAAUGCAAGAUGCAACCUACAUCACAGUCCCAAGUUAAAUGUGUCUUAUGGGUAAGUGAUCGUUGCAGGUAUAAAUUGUAAGCUACGCAGAUGCAAUUCAACAUAAUCAGAAGCAAUAGAAACUAGACAUCAUACGGAAAACGCAACCACAUAUAACAGUUCCAAGUUAGAGCAAGCACCUGUGAUGGUGGAGUAGGGGAGAUGUGCUCAUCAUGUACACGUAUGUUCUAGAAACAGGAACACGUGUCAUAUUCACAGGCAUUAUGUGUAAAGGAAGCAGAUGCAAUUCAACAAAGUUAGAAGUAAUACAAGCUAGACAUCAUACGCAACAUGCAACCACAUAUAAUAGUGCCAAGUUAGAGCAAGCACCUGUGAUGGUGGAGUAGGGGAGAUGUGCUCAUCAUGUACACGUAUGUUCUAGAAACAGGAACACGUGUCAUAUUCACAUGCAUUAUGUGUAAAGUAAGCAGACGUAAUUCAACAAAGUUAGAAGCAAUACAAGCUAGACAUCAUACGCAACAUGCAACCACAUAUAAUAGUGCCAAGUUAGAGCAAGCACCUGUGAUGGUGGAGUAGGGGAGAUGUGCUCAUCAUCUACACAGCUACGUUGACUGUCUAGCCUUGCGUUGUCUUGCGAAUUUUGUUGGGAGGAUGGCAGAGUAGAAUCUGUAGAGAACCUCCGUUUCAGUUGCUCGGAAGGACCAAUCAUCUAAUGCCUUGCCAAUUUCCUUCAGCUUUAUUGAUUUUGCAUUGUGAGGAAUAUAAUUCGCUCUUCAGAACUCAUGCAUGCAUGAUACUGACGAACACUACUCUGAUGAAAGGCAAAGUCACGAUACGAGGAUGGAAUAUGUACGAAAAAAUGGAAGGCUUGACAUAUUCACACCUAUGAUGUGGUAACUAAGCAGAAGGCACUUCAACAAAUUAGAAGCACUGCAAACUAGACACCAUAUGAAAGGUGCAAUCAAUAUCACUCUGCCAAGUUAAAACUGUCUCAUCAUAGGUGGCGUUCAUCAAACUAGAAGCAAUACAUGCUAGAAAUCAUAUUCAAGACGCAAACCAAUAUCACACUGCCAACUUAAAGGUGUUCCAUCAUAAGUGACCGAUGCAGGAUACACAAGAAGAGUAGUUUCAUGUAAGAACAUGGUGUGAUAGACAUAUAUAGUAUAUACCAAAAACAGGAAAGCGUGUCAUAUUCACACAUAUCAUGUGUAAGCUAAGCAGAUGCAGUUUACACUAAUUAGGAGCAAUACAAGCUAGACACCAUAUGCAACAUGCAACCAGAUAUCACACUACCAAGUUAGAGUAAGCACCUUGGAUGGUGGAGUAGGGGAGCGGAGACUUGGACCUUGUAAUGCACUAUCAGUACAAGGAGAAUCGGUAUAGAUGCUCCGUUUACGUUGCCGUAGAGGACCAACAUCAUCGCCUUCCUUACUCUUUUCCUUCCUCUUUCUUGAUUUUGACUUGUCAAGUCAAACCCACAAGAAAAAGGAAUAAAAUUUGCUCUUCAGAACUCAUUGAUGCAUGAUACUGAUGAACACUACUUUCAUGUAAGGCAGCCGCAUGAUAGGAGGAUGGAAUAUGUAUGAAAAACAGGACGACAUGACAUAUUGACAUGUAUGAUGUAUAAAGUGUAAACUAAGCACAAGGUGCUUGAACUUGUUAGAAUCAAUGCAAGCUAGAAACCAUAUGAAAGAUGAAACCAAUAUCACUCUGCCAAAUUAAAAGGGUGCCCUAACAAAUGUAUUUGACCAAAUUAGAAGCAAUACAUGGCAACAGGCUAGAAAUAAUAUGCAAUAUGCCACGAAUAAAGGUGACUCAUCGUAAGUGAUUGAUGCAGGAUACAAAAGAGAGGUAGUUUCAUGUAAGAACAAGGUUAACACAUAGAUGUAGUGUGUACCAAAAAAUAGGAAGGCAUGUCAUAUUCACAGGUAUAAUGUGUAAACUAAGCAGAUGCAAUUUACCCUAAUUAGAAGCAUUACAAGCUAGACACCGUAUGCAACAUGCAACCACAUAUCACACUGCGAAGUUAGAGCAAGCACCUGUGAUGGUGGUGUGGGGGAAUUGCGGUCAUCAACUAGAGAGCUACGUUGACUAUCUUCAUUUAGCCUUGUUGUUUCUUGAGAAUCAUGUGGGGAGGAUGACACUGCACUCUUUAAACGAGUAUGGCGUCUCACAGUAACCCACCCGGGUGACUGUCUCAUCAUAAGUGAUUGACGAGGGAUACAAAAGAGCAUUAGUUUGAUGUACGAACAUGGUUAAUAGACAUAUGUAGUAUGUAUCAAAAACAGGAAGGCAUGUCAUUAUCAAAGGUAUAAUGUGUAAAGUAAGCAGAUGCAAUUUAACCAAAUUGGAAGCAAUACAAGCUAGACACCAUAUGCAACAUGCAACCACAUUUGACAACGCAAAGUUAAAGCAAGCACCUGGGAUGGUUGUGUGUGGCAAUUGAGAUCAUCAACUGCAGAGCUACGUUUACUGUCUCCAACUGCUGACACUGCAUCCUUUAGAGCGCUGAAACGCUUAGUGCUUAUCUUCGAAUUACACUGGAGCGACUUCUGUCUUUUCUUUUCAGCAUUCAUCAACACUGCAUCAGAGUCUGAAAUACCCAUGCAUAAAAAAACAAUAGUGUGAGUAUGGGUGAAGUGUGUGCACAAUUAGUACAGUGUAAAGGUAGCAGAUAGCAGGUCGGUGAGAAAUAAAUGACGGGAGACAUAUGAUAGCUCUACAACAUGCAUGGCACACUAAAUUACUACAAGAUUCUAUGAAAAUAACAUUCGACUGAAAACAAAUAGGUCAGUCCAUUUUUUCUGCACCGUCCGAUGUACAAAGAACGGGCAGAUCGCCUUCAUCUACCUCCAGCCAGUCAGUGUUGAUGAUCUUCCUUGAAACGGCAGCGACCACCGGCCUAGUCCCCUGCCUGCGCCCUCCCCUCGACCUCACCGCACCGCCGUGCUUGGCACCGCCCCCUGGCAAUCCAUUCAUGCCCCACCGACCUCCAGAUCGGGCGCAAGUAGCUCCUUCGCCCCACACCCCUAUGAUAGACACCGAUGCGCCACUUCCCCGGCGAACAGGCAGACUAGGUGCUCCGCGUGCCUAAGCGGGUGUUGCUUCUUUUAAUUGCGGUUCGACUGACCCUGAAUUGAAAUCCAGGCGGGCUACUGACCUCUAGCAAAGGUGAAAUAGUAAAGGGAGGAAACCUUGUGCAUUUAGUAUCAUGAAGAAGAUGCAGUAAGAAGCGCUCAACUAGUUUCUUUCAUGGGAUGAAUACGGUGUGAGCAGAGAUGUAAGGUUUGCAUGAAUAAGGGAAGAGGAAUACCUCUUUCUGCUGGCAGUGCUGUGUCCUCCUUCUGUUUUUCCAAUGAUCUUCUUGUGGUUUGCUGGAAACGAGAAGUUGUGGAGGACGAUGCAGCCUUGGACGAACCCAUGGCCAAGUUGUUGAGUGUGGUGCGGUGGCCGUCUGUCGGCGGCGGGGAAGCAGAUCCGAGGCGGCGAACGACGGCGUAGCGGGAACAGCUCCGGUGCGGUGGACGGUUGCGACAGUGGAGCGGCAGUAGUGAGGCGCAGGACGGCGUGGUCGGAGUGGUUCUGGUACGACGCACGUCGGCGUCGGUGUCGUGGAGGCAGCUCUACCUCGGCUUCAGCUGCUAAGUCCUUGAGGGCGUUGCGGUUGCGUUGGACGACGACGCCGGGGUACCGGCUCCGGCGUGAUGGAGUUGGGCGGCGGUGGAUUGGGCGCUAUGGGGUGGAGGACGGAGGAGGCUGGGGUUUCGCGGCUGGUGGAGAGGGCGUUUUGGGCCCCAUAGAGUAUGAAUCUGGAAACGGAGGGAGGCGGGGAACUAAGGGGGAACAAUGUUUCAGUUUGGGACGCGCUUGUUUGAAAUUUGGGGAAGUUACAAACUUUACCCCCGUCUAAAAUUUUGGACAUAUUGCGGGUUGGGGGUAGGACAGUAAUCUCAGGUGUCCCAAAUGUGGGCGGGAUAAAUUUCGGCCGAGCGCAUGGGUGUUUAGGCGCCCACGGCGUAUGAAUGCUUCUCGGAGGCGGUUGAGACUGGCGUCUUGGUGAAAUUAUAAACCUACCCCGGUUUAGACCUUUGGACAUCGGGCCGAUAGGCUACACGGGCCAGAGUCAGGACAGUAAUUUCCUACCACCAAACAUUAGUCUCGCGCAGUUUCGGGUGACCAUAUGCCUAUUUGGCGCUUCGUUCAAUAUUUGGGAGCAGAAGCAUUAACAUUUUCGGUUCUCUUGAAUUGAACAUUCAGGAUUUGUCAAACUUCACAAAUCUUUACUCUUGAAAAUCCUAAAGCUACGAUUAUUUUGGAAUGGAGGUGGUACAUUUGAAUAUACAUUGUACACUAGUAUAUAUUAAAAAAAUGCAACUUACCACAGUUCAUGCAUGGUUCCAGAUAUAAUCUCCUUGGUUGCAAAAAAAAGUUAGACAUGUGUAUGAAUAUAUAUAGCAUGUUCAAACGCACAACAAAGAUUGAUGCCCCCUUUUACAUCUGAUUUAAAAAUGCCAUUAUCUCGGGUUCAAAUAGAUGAAUGCACUUCCUAUGAAUUCGAAUCUUCGAAACCCCCUUUAUGUUGAAUUCGACAUGUAUUCUAUUUCGUAGCUAGCAAUUUGGAAUGUAUCCAUGCAAGUGACAAAUGUAUAAAGUGCUUCACACUAACAACAUGGAGUGCACUAAUUAAUGUUUAUAUAUGAAUUGCAAAAGCAUCCAUUGCCUGUAUUUCAAACCGCUCUCACUCUAUGGAUCUAUAAUAUGAAAUAAACACAUGCACAUGCUAGAAUUCAAUAGAGUAUGGGUGUCUGAUAGACCGAUUUUCGUCCAUAUGCAAUUUGCAAAAAUCAUGAUCUCAUCCAGAAAUAAUAAUGCCAUUUAUAUUUUAAUUUAAUGCGUAGAACCGCCUUUUACACGUAGAUGCACUAUGCCUCGGCCCGUUCUCACAAACACGCUAUAUAUCUCUCUAUCUACCGCAUAAGUGCACACACUUUAUAUGCAUCGGCAUUUCUCUUUCACACAUGCUCACAAUCUCUCUCGGGGUGUCGGGGAGUCUCACGCACAUGCUCUCUCUGUAUCUCUCUCUCUCUCUCUCUCUCUCUCUCUCUUUCUGACUACUAUGUACCACUCUUUUCACUAAUCUCAGCUGGAACACACUAUUUCUCUCACAUGCAUAUAUACACACACACACGGUCUCUACUAGCCCUCUAUACGCACAUAUAUGUGCCUACGUGUCUCCCGCACGCACAUUAUCUUUAGGCCUCUCUCGCACACAUUGCCCCCCCCCCCAGACACACCUCUCUCUUAGUAGUUGGCAGAUAUGAUUCCAUCAUAUCAUUCGGUAGGAUAUCCCUGACUGUUAGGCUGGAUGAUAAUACGAGGCAAAGUUUUACCCUAGUUCGGACCCUUGCAGUUGAGGAAAAAGCCUACUCCUGGUACUGUAUAUUAGUGAUAGGGGUAUGUACAAAGUACACGUGAAUACCAGGCAUUGUACGUGUGUGUAUACUAUCGACGAACUAGCCCCCAAGCUUCUAUAACAUACUAGGGGCCUAGGGUUACAAAUCAUAUAUAGUCGGCUUAUCACCAGUGGGGAUAGAGUCCUCCGCGACUCUGGUAGCUAGCUUCGUGUUGUACGCCAAGUCCUCCACAUGGGUCUUCGUAUAACGCGUCUCGAUCCAACCUAUGUGGCGCGGGAUGGAACCGACCCAUGAGUCCUCAUGUUGACCCACUGUCGGUGUCAAAACCGGCGGAUCUCGGGUAGGGGGUCCCGAACUGUGCGUCUAGGAUCGAUGGUUGCAGGAGACGGGGGACACGAUGUUUACCCAGGUUCGGGCCCUCUCUAUGGAGGUAAUACCCUACUUCCUGCUUGAUUGAUCUUGAUGAAUAUGAGUAUUACAAGAGUUGAUCUACCAUGAGAUCGUAAUGGCUAAACCCUAGAAGUCUAGCCUGUAUGACUAUGGUAAUGAGUAUAUUAUCUGGACUACGCCCUCCGGUUUAUAUAGACACCGGAGGGAUCUAGGGUUACAUAGAGUCGGUUACAUAAGAAGGAAUCUUCAUAACUGAUCGCCAAGCUUGCCUUCCAUGCCAAGGAGAGUCCAAUCCGGAUACGGGUACAAUCUCCGGCCUUCAUGUCUUCACAGCCCAUCAGUCCGGCCCAUGGAUAACAGGCCGGACGCCUGAGGACCCCUUAGUCCAGGACUCCCUCAGUAGCCCCUGAACCUGGCUUCAAUGACGAGGAGUUCGGCACGCAGAUUGUCUUCGGCAUUGCAAGGCGGGUUCCCUUCCUUACGAACUCCAAGAUAGUCUUCAGAUGUAAUGAUUGUAUUCAGACUUGUAUACACAACUGUAGAGGAUAUAAUAUUUCACGAGCUAUAAUCCGCUGACAACCUUUUGGUAAUAUGACAUCACGCCUGCUCGGCCACUAUUUUCGAACCGUUUUACCUGGCCCGUCGUCCCACGUCUCAAGACGUGGUUUUAUUGGCAUGUCUUAUCCAAGCGGAGAUCGUGUCUCCCCCUUUUCAAGGGAUUCCUGUCAACCCAGACAUGGGAACCCAACCGUCGCUUGGGUAUAACUCCUUGGAAACAGGCACGUUUUUUAGGCCUAGGAGGAGACGUUUGAUAUUCGCAUCCUUUAUAUAGGGGUACAGACCCGUCUUUUUCUUUCACGCUUGCUUCUUCCUCGACCCCUGCUACCUCGAGUUCCAACACCUGGGUUUCAGUUGCCACAAGCCCCAAUCAUGUCCGGAUCCAGCCGUCAAGGCCGGUGGGUAGCUUCUUCUGUCACGGAGGGAGAUAUUGCCAAGCUUCAGGCGGCGAGGUACCUGACCGCAGAAAUCCAUCAUCGGCUUCCUGCCGAGGGGCAGGUUAUUCCCACCCCCAGAUCCGGUGAGAGGGUCGUGUUCGUGUCCCACUUCCUCCGCGGGUUAGGGUUUGCACUUAAUCCCUUCGUCCGAGGGCUCAUGUUCUAUUACGGGCUAGAUUUCCACGAUCUGGCCCCGGACUCUAUUCUUCUUAUCUCGGCAUUUAUCGUUACGUGCGAAGCCUUCCUCCGAACUCCUCCUCACUUUGGCUUGUGGCUCAAGACCUUCGAUGUGAAGCCGCAAGUGAUAGAGGGGGAGCAAGCUGAGUGUGGUGGUGCUACAAUGAGCAAGCUUGCUAGCGCGGUUUCGCUGAAAGGAUCCUUCGCCAAAUCUUCCGAUUUAUGGCAGCAGGGGUGGUUCUAUAUCAUCGAGCCCCGCGGCUCCAAGUGGGCAGCUGCGCCCAAAUUUCGAUCUAGCCCCCCAAUUCAGCUUGCAUCGUGGAUUAAUAAUGGGUUGGACUAGGGAUCAACGGACGAGGUGCGAACUCUGCAAAUUCGCAUCCGAAGCCUCAUUGAGAGGGACAUCAACAUCGUCAACGUUGUCCAAGUAAUGCUAGUUCGUUGGACCCUGCCGUGCCAGCGACAGCCCCUCCGCCUGUGAGAGUUCAAUCUAGAAGGGCCGCGGACUCUUUAGCACUUUUUCGGCACUACGCACGAAGGAAUGUGGAAAUUAUUCUUCGGGAAACGAAGGCAAUGGACGGACACCACCGAAGAUGUCGGCCUAGACCGUAAUCAUCCGGAUACCCUGGUAAGUACCCAUUUGCCGAAUACCUCAUAAUCAGAUACCCAGUGGCCAGAUACUGACCGAAUCAUCCUUUUCCAGGGCUGGAUAAAGAAGGUGGAACGGAUUAGGUGUCCGGCUCCCCUUCCCGAAGACUCAGCUAAUCCUGUGCUAACAAGGAUGCUGGCCUCGGCACCAUAUCAGGCGCCGGCAAGGGAGGGCGAAGAGGAGAGCGAAAAGACCCGGGAUGACCUUUGUUCCAGAAGUAAGUCGGAUACUGAGUCUGGAGAAAUCGACCUUUCCUCGCCUGAAUAUAAAGGCGAAAAGGAGCCAGCAUCCCUUCUCCGAGUAGGAGGAAAAGGGCCGCCUCCGAAGGUUGGGAGGGGCGACCCCCCAAAAGGGGCAAGAUGCCACUGUUGAGCGGCUUGGGUUUGGAAAGCGACGCCGUCGAACAGCUCCGACAAGGGGACAAGCCCUCGGCCAAACCGUAAGCGAAUCCGGAAUACUUUGAUAGCGUCCCGCUCCUUUGUCGUUACUGAAGAUAUACGUAACGCAUCCGUGCAUUUUUACAGGUCGGCGCAGAGUGUUUAUGGGCAAUCCUCUUCUUUGGGAGGUCUCCUCCCAGAGAUGAUGGAGAGCGAGACGCCUCCCCCAACUUCCUCACCCAAUAAGGCGGAUGACUCCGAAGUGUCGUCGCGGAGGGUUCUUCUUGAUCAACAAGCUACGCAGGGGAUAAAAGAGGCAGCACCCGAAGGUGGAUCUCCGCCCGUCCGAGGUUCUGGGGCUGAUAAUAAAGGCCCCAGACUAUCUGGCUCGCAGCCGACGGUGAUUCUGGAGACGGGUGAACAGAUUCCUUCAAAGGAUGGUGGUGCUCCUAGAGCGGCUUCCGGAGACCCGGAGGCUCCGGAUAUAUUGCGGGACAUGUUGCGAAAAGCAUCUGUCUCGGGAGAACAACGUACCUUGAUGGGUACAGUGGUUGAGAAGUUUUUGUCCGCGAAGAGCGGAUUAAAUGAAGCCUUCAUGAGCCUGCUGAAAGGCUUCAAGGUUUGUGGUAUAAUAUUAUCAGCUAUGUUUUAUUUGCAAAGAUGCGCCUGUGUAUAGGUAGUAGCCCCUGAGACUCGGGUUGGCUUCCACUUGGAAGCGAACCGGAGGAUCAAAAAUGAUUACUCAAGGACUGAUCUGAUGAACUUGAACACAGGCUGUUUCCCCCUUAGCUACUUCCCAGACUAUGGAUAUUGCCGAGCUGCAGUGGAAGCUUGAUGUAGUAGGGGAUGACCUUGCGUUAAUCAAUAUGCGUCUUCACGAGUCGCAAGGUAUGUAUUUGGGGCAAUCCCCAUACGUUUUUUUGGUAUAAGCAUGAUGCUAAAAUCUGUAUGCUGGAAUAUGCGUGGUUGUAGAUGGUGCUGCCGCUGUUGAGGUUCUUCGAGCGGAGUUGGACCGGGCCAAGGAGCAGGCCCGGUGUAGCAAUGCGGCUGCCGAAAAGGCAUAGGCUGAGUUAAAAGCCGAACAAGCUGCACGCCGCCAAGACGAGGAGAAGAUAUCCACGAUGACGCUCGAACUGGAGAAUGCUACUGGCCGCUGUGAACUUCUGGAGAAGGAGAGUAAAGCCUUAAAGGCUGAACUGGACAAGGCCUAACAAGAGGUUAGAGAAGCGCGGUCAGAAUCCAGGGCAACCCGUGAGGAGAUCCGGCAAGCUAGGGAGAUUGCGGCUGGUAAGCCGUUUCUGCUGCAAACUAAGUUCGGUGAUCUGAACUAUGCUCAGCUUAACCAAGUGUGGAGUUCUCCGGACGAGUUAUUGGAAUUGCCGAAGAGUUCUUCCGAUGCGGUGCAGUAUUACCAAGCGCGAGAUGGGUAUGCAACGGAGAAGCUUUUUUGGUCACAGUUUGGCGCAUCAAAGCGCCCUCUGUUGCUAAAUGAACAGAUGUCCCAAUGGGCCGAACUUCAUAGGAUAUCCGGCGCUGCCAUGAAGGAUGUCAUAAUCCGGUUGUGGCCAACCAAGCCUGCUCCGAAUAGCUAUUUUGGUUUGGUGCAGAGGCUUGUUGACGCGGUGCCGCGUAUCGACGUUGUGAAGCGGUCAACAUGCGUUGAGCGUGCACGGAUGGCUUUUGCCCAAGUCAAGACAUUCUGGGGGAAGAUGAAGGCCAUCGAUGUUGCGACGAAGAGUCCACCCAAAGGCAAGGACCGUCCGGAACCGGAUCAUUAUUUUGAAGACAUCCUAGAGGCCGCCCGCUUGAUAGAGGGUCAGUGCUCGAAAGACAUAAUGUUCGAGUGAGGUGUAUGAAAAUUGUAAAAGACAAUUUUAUAGUUAAUCUAUUUUUAUGUUUUGCUCGAAAGCUUGAAUUCCUCCCGUGCGUCCGUUUUAAUAUAAUCUGAAAGUUUUCCAGUCGUCGGCUUCAGCCCCCUCGUAGGAAGUACGAGGGUGUUCGGAAAAGCAUUUAAUCACUCUUUAUCGAACGUCUUGGUCCAUGAAUGAGGUGAUAAUGCGGCGAACCAGGCAAUCGGACUAUAGGGCGUUAACACUUUCAUUUAGCCAUAGGAGUUUUAUGGUGGGACUACGACAUAGCCCCUGGUAUGUAUGCGGCGUAUGGUGCCUUACAUAUUUGAUCCGAAAAAGAUCCUUCAUGUGACACGGAGAAUCGCUAAAGAUUCCAAUAAGUCGUCAAGUGUUUGACCAGCUCUCGCCGCAUCAUGACAGUCAGUUUUCGGCUUUCUCUACUGAGGUACUUGACCAGAUGAACUGGAAGCACAAUCGCAGUAGUUCUCCCUUUACUACCCUAGCCGAUAGAGCGGAACGUAGGGUAGCAAGCACAGGAGCCGGGCAACCCAACUAUUGACCCAAGACAAUGAUUCGGAGCUGAUGCAUAUAAGGCCAAACUUGCGACGCCGAAGUACGCUGUAGAGCUGUUCGGGCUUUUGCUGGCAACUCAUUUAUUCCCAUACCAAGCGCCUGGCGGGUUAUGCCAAGGUAUGUCUAUGAGAGCCGUAUUUAGCGGUGAAACAACAUGGAUGAUUAAUUCUGAUACUGGGAGUUGAGCGAUAUGCCAAUGAUUAUUUAUUAUAUAUAUAAGCCAUCCUCCCGGCUAUUUGACAUGCUCGGGGUCGGAGGCGGAGGAACAGGCAUAGUACAGGCUCGAAAUAGAGAGUGCGGUCUACAAAAAGUUAUUUUGGACCUCCUGUCGCACGUCUGCGCCGCCAGUCCUCGGCGGGGGGAAUCCUUGACGGAGAUAGCCCCUUAGGUGAGUGUACGGAUCCAAACUUCGAUAGAGCCAGUUUCAGAUGUUUGUCCUGUUCGUCACCUGUUUCUAAGAGAUAGUGAAGGAAGAAAUAAAAAGAAAAUGGAUAAAAAAUGUUACGGGGAUGCUUGCAGGCUUGUUUGUAGUGUGCUUCCGCCAAUGCCCAUGGUAUUUUGAGUGCGUAGUGAUGUAUGCGCGGCACAAAUUUUGCGGGUGUACGAGGUGGGCGGAGGAAGCCGGACUGCUAUUUUCGCUCCAGGAGUAGUUGAUCCUCGGGUGCAAAUUGCUUCUGACCCCCGGUAUUUCGUUGGUGAACCACUCUGUCAUCCCUGUCGCCUGGCGGCCUUCUCCCCUUGUGUUCGGCGUUGAGCUUGCCGGCCUGUUUAAAGACCCAGCAGUUUCUGUUAGUAUGAUUAGCUGGUUUAUUGGGGUGGCCGUGAAUCUGGCAGGGUCGGUCCAAUAUCCUGUCUAGGUUGGAUGGUUUGUCUCGAUUCGCCUUGAAUGGCUUCUUUCGUUGGCCGGGCUUGGGAUUGCUAAAUCCGGCAUUGAGCGCUGUGUCGCGUGAUCUUUCAUUAUCAUUGCGACUGUUGUAUUUGCUUCAUCGAGGCUUGCUGUUGCCGUCUCGGAUUUCGGAUGUGCCCGGGGCGUUGGCGCUGUUGCUUCUACGAGCGAGCUAGCUGUCUUCUCCCGCGCAAAGCGGGUCAUCAGAGCAGUGAGGGCUGUCAUGGAUUUAGGUCCUUCUUGGCCGAGGUGGCGUGCAAGCCAUUCGUCUCGGACACUGUGUUUGAAAGCCUCCAGGGCUUCCGCGUCCGGACAGUCGACGAUUUGGUUCAUUUUGACUAAGAGCCGAGUCUAGAGCUUCCUGGCUGACUCUCCGGGCUGCUGGACAAUGUGAAUUAGGUCAUCGGCAUCCGGUGGCCGGACAUAUGUUCCUCGGAAGUUAUCGAGGAAGGCCUGUUCCAAGUCCUCCCAGCUGCCUAUGGAAUUUUCAGGCAGGCUGUUUAACCAGUGUCGAGCUGGCCCUUUUAGCUUUAGUGGGAGGUAUUUAAUGGCGUGGAGGUCGUCCCCACGGGCCAUAUGGAUGUGGAGGAUAAAAUCUUCUGUCCAUUCCACGGGAUCGGUUGUUCCGUCGUAUGAUUCAAUAUUGACGGGUUUGAAUCCUUCGGGGAAUUCAUGAUCCAUUACUUCAUCGGUGAAGCAAAGCGGGUGUGCGGCGCCUCUAUGUUGGGCCACACUGCGACGUAACUCCGAAGGAGUCCAUUUGCGGUUUUCGGCUCGGGCGUGGCUAGGUUUGUCACGUCCGAAUAGGUAGCCAUCGUCGCGUGUCGAGGCAUGCCUUCACGAUCCGUAGAUCGGUCUUGCGUGUCCGGCUCUACUGCCCAAGUCUCGCUGUAGGUCGUCUGGACGAUUGUGAGCUGCGUUAUUCUUGCCUUUACGGCGAGGUGGGGCGGUCUGGUUUUUGUCUUGAGUUGCCUCUUUAUCCGGACAGAAUUGUCGGCGACCAGCCGCAUUGUGUGAUGAUGGUACGGGCUCCAACGCCUCGUCGUCGAAUUGAUGUAGCAAUCGCUUCGGGUAGCUUCCGGCUAAGCCACUAAGGCCGUAUUCUUCGGCGACCAGGACUUCGGUCCAUCUAUCAUUGAGUAGGUCUUGGUCAGCUUGAAGCUGCUGCUGCUUCUUUUUCAGGCUCCUUGCAGUAGCUAUUAGCCUGCGCUUGAAGCACUCUUGAUCAAGGGGCUCUUCAGGUACGAUGAAGUCUUCAUCGCCGAGGCUUACCUUAUCUUUGGAGAGCAGAAGGUAGUUGUCGUUCUCCGAAUUGUCGCUGGGCAGGGCCUGUUCAUCGGGGCUGGCUUGCCCGUUUUCCUGUUCCUCCUGUUCGGAUCUUGCUCCAACAGGGUCUUCAUUGUUUUCGGCGUCGUCCGGAGUACUAUUUUCUCCGGUGUCAGCGUUGUUGCGAUGUGACUUGGAGCGGUGUUUAGGGCGCCGGUACUUAGACUGUGUCUCAGGAGGUUUAUUCUCAACUGGAUCUUCUUUGUCAUCGUCGUGGGCUUUUUUAAGUGUAUCGACCAUGUACACGUCGUACGAAUGGGUGGCCAUCCCGCGUCUUUUGACUGGCGGGUCUUGACCUUACUCCUUGUCGGCAUCGUCGUCUAUGCCGUCAAUGUCUUCAGAACCAUAAUCAGGCGUGUCGGUUAAGUCCUCGACAGUGGCUAUGAAGUGGGCGGCGGGUGGGAAGCGAAAUUCUCCAUUAUCAGCCUCUAGCUCGAACCGAACAUAGUUCGGCUAUGAGUCCUUCUCCGAGGACAAAUUCUUUAAAGAGUUUAGCACAUCACCCAAAGGCGAGUGCUGGAAGAUGUCUGCGGCGCUGAAUUUGAAAAUCGAUAAACGAUCCAGCUCGGUGUCCGCAGGCGUACAUGGUCUGGAACUUAUAACCGGCGACGAGUUUGGAGUUCCGUUGACGCAAAUAUUCCCAGGUGUUGAGUCUGUGUGCGGCUCCAACGCCGCGGACUCUGUGGCUUCAGAUGGUGCAAUCUGCUCCGGACCUAUGGCCGUAGCAGUUACAGGAACCAUCUCCUGAAUCUGGUCCGAUGACAGAUUUAAGUCAUGUUCAUUGGAGCGAGGGGGAGCGAUCGCCGCGGUCUCAAAUCCAUUGAAGAUCAAGUCUCCAUGGAUAUCCGCGACGUAGUUCAUGCUUCCAAAUCUGACCUGAUGGCCAGGGGCGUAGCUAUCGAUCUGCUCCAGAUGGCCAAGCGAGUUGGCCCGCAGUACGAAGCCGCCGAACACGAAAAUCUGUCCCGGGAGGAAGGUUUCUCCUUGGACAGCGUUACUAUGGACGAUUGAAGGGGCCAUCGAACCUUUCGUCGACGGCACAGUGGAACUCUCAACGAAAGCACCAAUGUCGGUGUCAAAACCGGCGGAUCUCGGGUAGAGAGGGCCCAAACCUGGGUAAACAUCGUGUCCCCCGUCUCCUGCAACCAUCGAUCCUAGACGCAUAGUUCGGGACCCCCUACCCGAGAUCCGCCGGUUUUGACACCGACACCCACCACAACUAGAAAUGAUGUGCCCACCACACCACACACGCAAUCGGCCACUAAGAAAAUAAGCAUAUACAAUAGUACAAUGUUAUACAUGAAAGUUAAUUGCAUGGUGCAUCCAAAAAUAAUUGCAUUGUGAAUGAUUAUAUAUUCUCCUAAAAUAUUAGUCACGGGAAAGAGAAAUGAAGGGCAUAUCUCUCCUUGUAUCCACCAGACAUCCCCUCUUUCUACACCACUUUCACGUACGCACACAAACUAUCUCUCGGCCCUCUAAAAGUAUGCAUGCCCACGACACAUUCAUGCAUGACGGUCACUGUAUUUCAAGCUAAAGCACUAUACGGCCACUGGAGUUCAGAAUAUGCUCAUUACGGUCGUCGUAUACAUUCUCGUGGUGAUCAUACGGUAUCUAGCUCACGAUACGUCUUCGUAUUUUCUUGAUGACACUGACGGACUUUGCAUUUGAUGCAGGCUCCGUAUUUUGUUGACGACACUUACGGUCAUUGUAUUUGAAGUGAAAGCACGAUAUGGUCACUGGACUUCAGAAUAAGCUCAUCACGGUCACCACAUACAUUUUGUCGUGCUAACCAACAUGUGGUUGGAUGGUUAGGAGGACAGUGGUUUCUCGAGCCCACCAGGGUUAAAGUCUCGGUGCUCGCAUUUAUCAUGGGUUAAUUUCAGUAUUUUCCGGCGAUGUGCGUUCAGUGGGAGGAGACGUUCCACUCGACUACGAGGCACCUAUGGUGACUUCGUAAAAUCUCAAGAUCAUAUGCUGGCCCACUCUCUCGAAGGUGCUCAUAGGGGUAGGGUUUGCGUGUGUGCGCUUAUAGCGGUGAGUGCUUGCGCGUAUAUAUGAGCCCUUGCGUUUGUACCGUGUUAAAAAAAUACAUGUUGUCGGCGUUCUGGGAACGGGGGUCCCCAGACUUGCCUGCGUGCGGCCCAUAGCAUGGCCAAGCCAGCAGGCCGUACGGCCCAUCUUCAUCAACAAGGCAUCCAAGACCCUCGCGAGGGUCCAAGCUUCGCGAGGUGGACGACGCAAGACCUCCUCUGGAGUAGCCCAACCAGGCAGGCUCGCGAGGAGCGGAGAUAUCAAGGCAGGGCAAAACCUCACGAGGCCCCCGUGACGUGAGCCAUGACGAACGGUACCAGGCGGGCGCCAGCGCGCGCAGCGUCCUUAUUUCCUCUUUGGUGCUAAGGAGGCCAGCGCAGGCGAAGAGUACCGAGGCAUCAGGCAAAUGUUGCUAUAUUGGUGCAACGAGACCAAGACCAGGAGGACGGCAAGACGGAGGUCAUCGUGGAGCCCAAGACGACGUCACCACCAGAGCUUUUCGCAGGCGAAGACCGCUUUUGUCAGGAUAGCUUGUACUAGCUGUCCCCCUUCAAAUUCGCCCGCCAUUGUUGGCUCCCUUCCCGCUCGAUAUUUGGGAAGAGGACCAGGGCCACUAUAAAUAGGUCUAGCCACCACAGCAGGAGAGAGGAUCGAAUCCUGACCCGCACAAGUUCGACCAGCACAAGAACACCUCAACCUCAGGAGGCUGUUCUUCCUUUGUACUGUUCAUCAUCAGCCCAAGAGGCAAUCCACCACCACCACACUGGAGUAGGGUAUUACACCACAACGGUGGCCCGAACCAGUAUAAACCUCGUGCCUUUCUGUGUUGCGAGUUCGUCGAGUUCGUCCGCGAGAUCUUUACGAGCUAGGGCGCAGAUCGGUAGAAGGGAAAGACUUCGCGCGCACCCCAGUGUUUGAACCUUAAGGGUUUGCCGGAACCCCACAUCCGACAUUUGGCGCGCCAGGUAGGGGUGCGCCGGAGCUCCUCUCCACCAACCUGCGCCCCGUGCCGCCGCACUUCGCUCCCAUGGCGGGUGCCCCGCCAUCCACCUCCGCGACACACGUCGGCAGCGGGGAGUCCGGGUACCGAGCCCUGGCCCCCGCCCUGCGGCGAGUGCAGUGGCCAACCAAGUUCAAGCCGAAGAUGCCGCCGCGUUACGACGGAGCGGCAGACCCGGCGCCGUUCCUGCUGGCGUACGAGGAGGCCAUCCUCGAGGCCGGAGGCGACGACAAGAUCAUGGCCAACUGGUUCCCCAUGGCCCUCGCCGGUGAGCCGCGCGCCUGGUUGCUCAACCUCCCGGGAUCAACGGUGGCAUCCUGGGGGAACUCCGCAAUCUCUUCACCAUGCGCUACACGGUGCCGGCGCACCAUGCAGUCGCGGCACUGCUGGGUGGCUCUCAAGCACCGCCUUCAGAUCGCCACGCCAAACCUUUCUUCCGUCAGAUUGGGGCAGCCUUCAAGCGCCCGGGGGCUCCGCCGGGUUGGGCUGCGCCGGAGGCUGACCACACCUUCGGCUCGGAAGACCACCCCGACUCCACCACCGGCUCUGGAAUGCUCCCGAUGCUCUGCAUGCCCACCAUCUGCAAUGUGGCGUUACCAAGACCCUCAUCGACGGCGGCGCUGGCCUCAACUUGCUCUCCGUAGAAGCCUUCAGCCUUCUUCACGUGCCGCCUAAGCGGCUCGGCCUCAGCAAGCCCUUCUCGGGAGUGGGCGGUGGAGCCGCUCACUCUCUGGGGCAGAUCCGCCUCCUUGUCACCUCCGGCGCACGCGACAACUACCGCACCGAGCUGGUGGACUUCGACAUCGCAUGCAUCGGUCUCCCGUACAACGCCAUCCUCGGGUACCCGACUCUUGCUCAGUUCAUAGCGGCGACUCACCUGGCCUACAACCUCAUGAAGAUGCCAGGGAGCAAGGGCGUCCUCACCAUCAAGGGAGACACUAAGGAGGCCGUGACGGCGCUCAGGCUUGCCUUCAAGACCGCGGCAGCAGCGCGGCUAGCCGGCGCCAGUACGCCCGAGGCCAAGGAGACCGUGCCCACCAAGAAGAAGCAACUGUUCACCCAAGACAAGGCGGAGACCAAGCAGGUGCUGGUCAACGAGGAUGGGUCUUCAGGAGCCACCUUCACCAUAGGAACUGGCCUCGACCCAGGACAAGAAGAAGCUUUAGUGAGGUUUUUGCGCGCGAACAAGGAGAUAUCCGCGUGGGAGCCCAAUCAGCUGGUAGGGGUCCCGAGACAGGUGAUCCAGCAUCAUCUAAGGGUAUGCCCCAACGUACGCCCCGUGAAGCAGCGAGCAAGACGGCAGCCACUGAGAAGCAGGCCUUCAUCGUCCAAGAGACACGCAAGCUGGAGGCGGCAGGUACCAUCCGAGAAGUUUGAUACCCCGAAUGGUUGGCGAACCCCGUCGUGGUACCAAAGAAAGGCGGGAAGGAAUGGAUGUGCGUCGACUUCACCAACCUUAACAAGGCUUGCCCCCAAGUUCUGUUCCCACUUCCACGCAUUGAUCAUAUCGUCGACUCCACCGCCGAAUGCCACCUGCUAUGUUUCCUGGAUGCAUUCUCAGGAUACCACCAAAUCAAGAUGGCGGUGGAGGAUGUGGAGAAGACAGCCUUCCUGACACCAUGCGGGGUGUAUUGCUACACCUGCAUGCCCUUCGGGCUGCGCAACGCGGGCGCAACCUUUCAGCGGUUGAUGCACAUCGCUUUGGGGUGGCAGCUCCGCAGAAACACAGAGGCUUACGUUGAUGACAUAGUGGUCAAAUAUCGCGAGGCGAGGACGCUGAUUCAAGACUUGGAGGAGACCUUUGAGAGCUUGCGCCAAGUGAACUUGAGGCUUAACCCCGAGAAGUGCGUGUUUGGCGUCCCCUCCGGCAAGCUGCUAGGGUUCCUCGUAUCCCACAGAGGGAUCGAGGCGAACCCGAAGAAGAUCAAGGCCAUCGAAGACAUGAGUCCACCGCAGACCCUCAAGGAGAUGCAAAAGCUAGCAGGGCGGGUGACCGCGUUAGGGCGUUUCAUCUCCAAGCUAGGCGAGCGCGCCUUACCCUUCUUUAAGCUCAUGAAGAAGAAGGGCCCGUUUGAGUGGACCCCAUAGGCCGACUGGGCCUUCCAAGACCUCAAGAAAUACCUCACCAGCCCUCCGGUGAUGGUGGCACCGCGGCCUCUCGAGCCUCUGGUGCUCUACCUUGCCGCCACACCGUACUCCGCCAGCGCGGCGCUGGUGGCGGUUCGGGAGGAGCGCCAAGACAAGGGUAUGCCGCGCCAAGCCAGAGCAGAUGCAGCGCGGGGACAGGAUGGCGCAGCAAGGCCGUCGGCGGCUCAAGACCAAGCUCAGCGGGGCAACAUCGCAGAAGCUCCUGAGGACGGUUGGGUCUCAGGAGACCCACCACCUCAGGAUAUGCCACAAUCUCCGCAGGACCCGAGCCUCGACAGUGUGCCAGCCCUCGUCGAGCAUCCCAUGUACUUCGUCAGCACCGUAUUGCGGGACACGAGGGCGUGCUACCCCAUGCCGCAAAAGCUCCUGCUCGCACUCUUGGUGGCCUCACGCAAGCUGUGGCACUACUUCCAGGGCCACCCCAUCAAGGUUGUCUCAGCCUACCCAUUGGAGAGGGUACUCAGGAGCCCCAACUCAGCCGGAAGGGUUGCUGAGUGGAACAUCGAGCUGCAAGCAUUCCAGCUGGAGUUCAGCACUACCAGGGUCAUCAAGGGAGCCGCGCUCGCCGAUUUUGUGGCAGAAUGGACAGACGCCCCGGCUCUUGAGGAAGGAGAAGACCGGUCCACCUCCCCAGGAAGCGAGGCACCAGACGGCUGGGUCAUGUAUUUCGAUGGCGCCUUCAUGCACCAGGGCGCAGGGGCUGGAGCAGUGCUCAUCUCGCCCACUCAGGACAAGCUCUACUACGCCGUGCACCUCUGUUUUCAGCACGGCGAGAAGGUCUCCAACAAUAUCGCAGAAUACGAAGGCCUCAUAGCUGGCCUGAAGGUUGCGGCGGCUCUAGGGGUGAAGCGCUUAACCAUCAAAGGCGACUCGCAGCUCCUCGUCAACUUCUCCAACAAGGUGUAUGGGCCGAAGGACGAGCAUAUGGAGGCCUACCUCGCGGAGGUGCGCAAUAUGGAGAAGCAGUUCUUGGGCCUUGAGCUACAGCACGUGCCCCCGGGCACCAACAAGGAAGCCGACGACAUCGCCAAGAGAGCAUCCAAGCGGCAACCGCAAGAGCCCGGUGUCUUCGAGGAGCAGCUCUUCAAGCCAUCGGCUACGCCACCUCUUUCAAGCACGACCCAGCCUCGGGAGGAGCUCCCACAGCCUCCGGCCACAGGAGCCCCGGCCUGUGGCCCGACCUCAGGAGCUCGGCUGCUCUUGCCGCUCGUACCCCAGGAGGAAUGCUGGACCAAGGAGUUCAAGGAGUACCUGACGCACGGGACGCUGCCGGAGAAGGAAGAGGACGCGGAGCGCGUGGCACGGCAAGCCACAGCAUACUGUAUCCAAGACGACGAGUUAUACAGGAAACGGCCAAACGAUGUCACGCUGCGCUGCAUAUCCAGUGACCAAGGAAGGGAGUUGCUGAUUGACAUACACGGCGGGGACUGUGGACACCACUCAUCGUCACGGACCCUUGUCGGCAAGGUGUUCCGCAGUGGAUUCUACUGGCCUACAGCACUUAACGAUGCAGACGAGCUGGUGAAGUCCUGCGAAGCCUGCCAAUUCCACGCCAAGCAAAUCCAUCAGCCUGCUCAGGGCCUCCAAACCAUUCCGCUCACAUGGCUGCUCGCGGUCUGGGGGCUGGACAUUCUAGGCCCGUUCCCCCAAGCGCCAGGGGGCUACCGCUAUCUCUACGUCGCCAUCGACAAGUUCACCAAGUGGGCGGAAGUGGAAGCCGUCCGUACCAUUCCAGCCGGCUCUGCUGUCAAGUUCAUCAAGGGCCUCGUGAGCCGCUUCGGGGUCCCCAACCGCAUCAUCACAGAUAACGGCUCGCAGUUUACUAGUAACCUCUUCAAAACCUACUGUGCUAACCUUGGAACGCAGAUCUGCUACGCUUCGGUGGCCCACCCCAGGAGCAAUGGUUAGGCUGAACGCGCCAACGCUGAGGUCCUGAGGGGCCGCAAGACCAGAACCUUCAAGAAGAAGCUAGAGGCCUGCGGCAAGGGCUGGCACGACAAGCUCCAGUCCGUGCUGUGGUCCAUCCGCACCACAGCUACCAAGCCAACGGGCGAGACCCCGUUCUUCCUCCUCUACGGAGCUGAAGCAGUCCUCCCUCACGAAGUCAAGCAUCGCUCCGCGCGGGUUCUGGCAUUCGAUGAAACGCAGCAGGACGCCAUGCGGGGGAUGGAUCUCGUCCUGGGGGAGGAACGUCAUUGCAAAGCUGCAUUAAGGGCGGCAAGGUAUUACCACUGCCGCAACAUUCGCUCCAGGACGCUCGAGAUGGGUGACCUGGUCCUGAGGCGGGUCCUCUCCAGGGAAGGGCUACACAAGCUUUCGCCCAUGUGGGAGGGCCCGUUCAGGGUCGUCCACAUCUCCAGGCCUGGCACCGUGCGCCUGGAGACGCAAGAAGGGACACCUAUCCAAAACGCCUGGAACAUCCAGCACCUCAGGAAGUUCUACCCAUGAAGCAAGGCCCAGAGCCUAUGAAGCAAGGCCCAGAGCCUGUGAAGAAAGGCCCAGAGCCUGUGAAGAAGGCCCGGUGUCUGUGAAGAAUCGCCGCCCGUGACACUCUCACGUAAUAAUGAGUUGGGGCUGUACACGCCCCGGAGUCUCAGGAGCGCCGGCCUCAGGCCCUGGGGCUCCCUCCCAUGCCUAGUGGACAGCACUUAGCUCCGCGCUGGUGAGAAGACUUGAAGACUAGAUUAGGUGCCGGACGCGGCUUUUCAUUCGCUUUCCGUAGUUGGCUCGCUUUUCCUUAAUCGAAGUUGCUCUUGGUGUUCGUUGCUGAUUUGAUUCCCUAGCCUUUUACCGCAUUUUUCGGCUAUGGUUUGCUCAUGUUCUCUCUCUCGCAUGCCUCGCGAGGGGGCUAGGCAGGUGCCCUCGCGAGCAUUUUUCUUCUCUCCGCCUUCUCGCGUGAACAUUUUUCUUCUCUCUGCCUUCUCGCGAGCCACCCUCGUUCGAGCCUGAAAGCUGGCACAUCCCUCCUAAUCCGUGCCCCUCGGGUACCGUGAUACAAAGCGCCAAAUCAAGGCUUGGGUGGAUGGCAGGUCCUUUAGUGCACCCCCCUAACGAAUUUUUUGCAGUUUCUGAGCAACACAGACACCUCGUGAGGGAAAGGGCGUCCCAAACGCGCCAGGUUAAGUUAUCUUUGCAUAAAAUAACAACACGGCAUGGGAAUAACACGCACAGUGCAUUAACCAAAGAACCACUGUCCGAUACACUCCCCUCUGGGCCCAUACUGGUUUCGUUUUCUGAUGCAGGGAAAAAGAAAAAGCUAAAAAAAGCGGCGUUGCAACAAUCUGUGGAGGCAGGCCCUCAGCGAUGCCCCGAGCCUAGCCAGACCCCUCCUCGCGCUUCACGGAGGUGCGAGGACGAGAUGACCCGCUGCCUCCUUCAAAGCGGGCGCGGCGGCGCGACGGCUGGUCGUAGUCACCGGAGGAAGAGCCGCCGUAGCUGGAGAAGACGCAGUCGCCACUGAGGGCAGGCUCGCCCUCAUCCUCAUCACGACCAUCACCAAGGCCGAGCACCUCCUCACCGUCGUUCGUCUCGGGGCAGCACCCGGUGCGGCGACCAUCUUCCCCGAACACCCUCACAUAGAGGGUCGAUCCACCGUCAUACUUGAAGUGAGCAUGCACCGCCGGCCCAGGCCGCGCGCGCGGGCAAACGUCUGCCGGCCGCGGGCCAGGGCUAUGUUGCCCGCGGCGGAAGUCUCGACCGCAACCCAAGAGGCCUUGCUGCAGCAGUCGCCCGCCUGCAGCCAGAGUCCGCCCGGACCAGAGGCCGGCAGUUCACCGGCGAAGAAGCACGGAAGUUGGAGCCAGUUGCCGGCCGGGUUCUCCGACCAGAUAACAAACUCCGGCGACAUCUCCGCCGUGUGGAAGCGCGGACGAGGAGGCCACGCCACCAUAGCACGCCUCCCCUCAUCAACUGGACCGCCAUGGUUGGGACGAUCCCCUCCACAUGCCGUGGCGCCGCCUUGACGGUGGGCCACGGCGGGGGUCGCGGCGUGCUUGCGCGGAUGGCCGCGAUCGUGCUUGGGCGCCGGGGCCCUCGCGAGGGGCCUUCCCCUUCUCGGCGGCAGAGAACUUCCUUCGGGGCACCAUCGGAGGCACUGCGAGCAACGAAGCAAAGGAGGAGCAAGCAAGCGAGGAAGAGAUGAGCAGCGGGGGCUCCGCCCCACUCCCCAUUUAUAGCAAGAGGAGGCCAACCAGCGUCUCCCACGAUCGCAGGUAAUGAUGGUUUUCCUUGCAUGUCGCAGGGACUUGUCAAGUCGUGCAGUCGCCGAGGCAGCGUGGGGAAGCGGAGGCGCCCACGUCCAAUCAACCGCGCGUCAACCGAGGCUGCAGGCUUUUGGGGCCCGCGGUGCUCCGAACUUGACCCUUGGCUUCGCCGCGAAGCCAAGCCCGAGCGCACCUUGGGACCGGGGGCUACUGUCGGCGUUCUGGGAACGGGGGUCCCCAGACUUGCCUGCCUGCGGCCCACAGCGUGGCCAAGCCAGCAGGCCGUACGGCCCAUCUUCAUCAACAAGGCAUCCAGGAUCCUCGCGAGGGUCCAAGCUUCGCGAGGCGGACGAUGCAAGACCUCCUCUGGAGUAGCCUAACCAGGCAUGCUCGCGAGGAGCGGAGAUAUCAAGGCAGGGCAAAACCUCAUGAGGCCCCUGUGACGUGAGCCAUGACGAACGGUACCAGGCGGGCACCAGCGCGCGCAGCGUCCUUAUUUUCUCUUUGGUGCUAAGGAGGCCAGCGCAGGCGAAGAGUACCGAGGCAUCAGGCAAAGGUUGCUAUAUUGGUGCAACGAGACCAAGACCAGGAGGACGGCAAGACGGAGGUCAUCGUGGAGCCCAAGACGGCGUCACCACCAGAGCUUUUCGCAGGCGAAGACCGCUUUUGUCAGGAUAGCUUGUACUAGCUGUCCCCCUUCAAAUUCGCCCGCCAUUGUUGGCUCCCUUCCCGCUCGAUAUUUGGGAAGAGGACCAGGGCCACUAUAAAUAGGUCUAGCCACCACAGCAGGAGAGAGGAUCGAAUCCUGACCCGCACAAGUUCGACCAGCACAAGAACACCUCAACCUCAGGAGGCUGUUCUUCCUUUGUACUGUUCAUCAUCAGCCCAAGAGGCAAUCCACCACCACCACACUGGAGUAGGGUAUUACACCACAACGGUGGCCCGAACCAGUAUAAACCUCGUGUCUUUCUGUGUUGCGAGUUCGUCGAGUUCGUUCGCGAGAUCUUUACGAGCUAGGGCGUAGAUCGGUAGAAGGGAAAGACUUCGCGCGCACCCCAGUGUUCGAACCUUAAGGGUUUGCCGGAACCCCACAUCCGACACAUGUCAUGAUUAUACGGUCACUGGCUCACCCGUACAACUCCGUAUUUUGUUGAUGACACAAUUAAUUGACCAGUCAAACGUUCCACGUGGCGUACCUAGUGUUGCACCAUCGGGGCGCGUAACCGUGGGGCCCACCUGUCAGCCCAUAUAUGAAAGAAAGAAAUGGUAGUUUGAGUCUGUACUGUGUUAAUAAAAUACAUUUUAGGGUGAUCAUACGGUCACUGGCUCACCAUACAGCUCCGUAAUUUGUUGAUGACACGAUCAAUUGACCAGUCAAACGGUCCACAUUCAGCAGCGCACAUUACUAUAGGGCCCACCCGUCAGCGCGUAUAUGAAGGACAGAAAUGGUAAUAAAUUAGUGGUCGGUGGGUACUCGAAGUUGUGAGACCUCUGGUUAGUAGUCGCCGGUGGUGGGGGGCGCGUUGAUUGGGCGGUGGGGUGGGGAUCGCCGGAGAAAAAGCUCGGCGCAGGGGGGCCUAGAGGGAUGGCCGGUGCGGCGGCGGACCAGCGGUGAGGAGUGGUUUCGGGGCGGGAGGGGCGGCGUGGCGGCCCGGGGCGGCCGCGGGCGGCGGGGGCCGGCGGUUCGGCCGGUGGUGGCUGGCGGCUCAGGGGGUGGAGUUUGAUGAUAAACUGCAGGCCCUUGAUUUUGUAUCCAAUGGCUGGAAAAUCUAAUAACCAGAGAUGAAAAAGUCAGUCGACUGACGUGUAGCCUCACCCCACACGUACACAUGCACGCACGCAAGACACGCACGCAUGCAGGCGUGCAACACUGACACGUACACAUAACGAACACACGCACGCAUGCAGGCGUGCAACACUGACGCGUACACAUGCACUCACGAACACACACACGUACACACACAUGCAUGCAACACUGAAACGUACCCUUGCACGCACGCAACACUCGCACGCCUGCAUGCACACAGCACACGACGCAAGACACACGCUCAACCUAUAUGUGCAUGCACCCUUUGUUAAGGACAUGGAUUGUUACGGGUAUUAAUCUAUCUUAUCUGUGAUAAGCAGAACAUUGAUGUUUGUAGCGGUCUUUAUGAAUCACAACGUAUCGAACGGGCUAUCAACAUAGUAGGCUUAUCUACAUGAAAAGGAUGAUGUCACACUCAACGAACAAUCAUCGGUUUAUGAAAUGCCCGCUUCUGACCGCCCUGGCCCACCAAAGGUUCCUCUGAUGUGCGCUGCCUGCGUUGGGUCACUGACAUGCAGGCCAUGUACCCAAAGAGCCCACACGUCAGUGGAAGAACGGCGCGCUGUCCUACGUCAGAGUCGAGGGCGCCACUCGCUGCACGCCCGGCUGAACACGCCUCCUUGCCGCAUUCAAACGCCUCCAUGAAACCCACCCGUGUGGAAGCCGAGAAACCCACUCUGGACACACGUCCGUUCAUGACCGGGCCGGCAUUAAACGCAACGCCGGCCGAGCUCCUCCCGUCCGCCGUCUAUUUAAUCUCCUAUUUAAACGAGGCCAAACACCGGCCAAGAAUCGCACACCUCCACCGCUCCCCUAUCUCCUCCUUCACCAUUUUGUCCACUCUUACAAUGGCUUACGAAGAGUAGUUAUUCCGCAUCCAAGCCGGCUGGGUGGCCCACCGAGCCCGCCGGAUACGAGCUAUGCAGCUCGCUGAUCCACCUCCCUCCCCUCGCCCGACGGAGCCAGUUGCCGCCCCAAGCCGGCGCGCGGUUCAGCAACUCUCGCCGCUCCAGGCCAGCUCGACGAGGAGCGGCACACGGGCGUCGUUGCUGCCGUCCACGCCGCCACCUCGUACCGCGUCUCCCGUUUCUGUGGCCGAGACUCCCAUACCGGCGGCCGCGCCAUGCAAGCAGCGACAGAAGCUGGGUGCGCGGAGAGCGACGAGUCGGUGGCCAGCGCCUCCGCGUCCGCCGCCAUCAUCUAGGAGAAGUAGAACACGGGAGGCCGCCGCCGCUUGGGUCCCAUGAAGGCCACCACGGAGGCGACGCGGCGUACACAGCAGGUGUCUUGCUGGAUCCUUUUGUUGCGAGGACCUUCGUCGACCCUGCAUAUACCUCCGGGGCUCCCGGCAGUCCGGUGAUCAUGCUGCCGGACAUGAGGAACACAAAUCGAUCGGCGGGCGACCAUUUAGGCCCGGUAUUAUAUACCUGUGCUGUCUAGAACUAGUAUCGCAUAGUUUAUUUGAAUGUAAUGAAAUCCGUCAUGUUUGUAUGAAAAUCCGGUAUCUUAUAUGAUUUCUGUCGUUGUUUAUAUGAAAUAUCGCCGUGUUUGCGUGAAUUUCGUCCGGUUGGUUGACUUGCUGUCACAAUGUGUGCGGCUACGGUUGGAUGGCGUAAUUUGCGGGUCGCCGGUCGGUCUGCGGGCGGCUCGGGUGGCGUGGUGGGACAAAAAGAACACAGCUCGUGUGAGCUCGUCUCCAACAUGCACGCUGGAGGAUGCAUGAGAACCCGAGCCAUUCCUCGUUCAUCGGUGGCAAAGGCACCGGUGGACAAAAGGGUCGCCAAUAUUUUGGCUACCCCGAGCAAGAUCCAAACAGCCCCUCCCAACAGAUUCAAAUCCCUCGUUCGCCGUGGAAUUUUGCCAUGUGUUGUUUUCAUGGACUAGCAAGAUGCCCGUGCAUUGCACGGAACAUCAAGAUGCAUUUUUUACAAAACACCUGUUGUGAUUGACCCAUGCAGGAGUAAUCCCAUUUUGUAGAAACUAAUGAUUGCUCGAGAAUUUUAUCGGACUCCAUUUUUGUAUACAAGGCCACAAACCCAUAUUACAGGUACCAAGGCAAAAAUUAAUGUCUUCUAACUCAAUGUUGCAAGCCACCUUGUUUCCUUGUUUGCCGUGUAAAUUAAUGUGUAUUCUUCUCUUUCAUGCACAUCAAGCCAAUGCUCACACUCCUGCAUGCAUGCAAGGGAUAAUUAAUGUCCUCCUUUGCUAGUAGUGCUACGAGGCAAACACCAUUAAUAUUGCAUCGAUUAGUGUUAGUGGCCUUGUAUAUCUACAAAUUGUAAUUUUGAUAGUGGCCUUGUAUAUAAAAAUGGAGGGAGAAAGAUGAGAGAUAAGGUGAGGAGGAGUGGGGCGUGGUGGUGACUGGUGGUAGGACUGGGCGGAGGCAUGGGGAUGGACGGCGCAUUAUGUCGUUUGUAUCUCUAUAGUCCCUCUCACACACACCCACGUAGGUGGGGGACGUGCACGAAGAGAAGAGGUGCACGCACGGCGCACGUACUCCCGUCUCUUUCCCAACCACACCCGCGCGAGUACACGGUGGAGCUCAUUUCUAUACGAAAAGGCAGCCCACGUGGUAAUUUGACACGUGUACUGGUUGUCCACUAGAUGGAGGGAGGAUCGUCUACCAUGGGUGAACAAACAAAUUGUGACUUGACGCGUUAUGUUAAAAAAGAGGCAAACCAUGUGGGGCCUACCUUAGAGGCAAGGCUCUAUACACUGGAGUACUUUUCAUGUGUCCCGUCAACUCGCAGAACGAGGAGAAGCUUGCUUAGUACGCCGUCUCCCCCGCCCACGGGCGCGGUGGCUCGCAGGAUGAGGUGAAGCUUGCUUACUACGCCUUACGCCCGCUCCCUCGCCCACGCGCGUGGUGGCUCGCAGGACGAGGAGAAAAUUUUACUAGUCCCUCCGUUUACUCCUCGUCCCUACUACCUUGGUUAGAGAGAUUAUCAUAUUGUUUGGAAUAUAUAUGUCCUUUAGUACUCCCUCCAUUUACUUAUACAAGGCCACUAUAAAAAAAUACAUUUUGCAUCUAUACAAGGCCACAAAUAGUAAUCAAGACAAAAGUUACUACUCCCUCCUUUCCAGUUUAUGGCUCAAUUUCAAAAUCUCUCCAACCAAGGUAGACGGUGAGUGGUCGAAUUAAUUUCGUACUCCUAGUUUGCACAAGUAAUUAGUACGCUCGUUUUUCUCAAGAAGUUAUGUUUACCGAGGCAUUAAUUAGAACGAAUGCAUGAAUGACCACUAAAUUUCCAUGAACUUCUACAUGCAUUGGUGAGUUUUCUCUUGACACUGCUUGCAUCGGGUGAUCUAACACACCUCAAAAUCCAACAUGUGAUGGUACUACUAGUAGUAGUAGAAUUGAGACUUAUAAAACAGAAAAACGAAUGUUUUUAGAUGAGCCCUAUAAACCCUAGUGGGUACGUACUCCGUAAAAUCAGAUUUUCCCAAAACUAAGUCGCUCAACCUUUAUUUGCUUGUUUCCCUUCCUGCCUCCUUGCCUCGAACAGACUAUGCCAAACUCCCCUGCCUGCCGCGCGGGAAAAGACCCGCCCUCACCUUUUUUUAGUCCGGGUUUGUAUCGAUGGAUCGCGCGAAGCAGCAAAAACCCAAGCCGUGUCUUGUACUCCUCCGUCGACGCUCGCUUUCAUGAAUUUUGUACUUCCUGUCGCCGAUAUGUGGGACAUAUAGCAACCGGGUCGACGUGUCAAGCACCAAAUAACAGUGCAGAAUAGCAGGGGGGACGCACCCCAGUAGUACUAGUAAUGAGCAAUGAGACGUCAAAUCACAAUGCCGCACCUUCCUAGAUGGACGAAGCAACCAUUAUUUCACACUUCGGUUCGCCAUCAUCUCACACCACGUAGUAUUGCUUCUGCCUCAAGAGGGACACACGCAUCGCCUUGGUACAUCAUGACACGUGGGACCGCAUGACAGGCCAUGCUCCCCCGCCGAUCGCUCGGUAAAAUCACCUCAUUUUUACUACUAUACUUCCUCCGUAUCCGUUUACAUGGCAUGCACGUCCUUCUAGGUUGAGAAUUUAACUGGCUAUAUAUGUGAUGAACAGUAUAUGUUUAGAAACUACAUCCGCUUAAUAAUCCAAUGAUAUACUUUUUGUGACAUAGUAACUCAGAUUUAGUUAGUCAAAUGGAUGACCUAGAACUACGUGCAUGCCCUAUAAACCGAGACGUCUAAAAAAACGAGACGGAGAGGGUAGUUCAGUACGUAUCUUUUUAGAUCAAUAUAGUCGGGAUUCACCAAGGAGCAAAACCAAGUGGUAGGCUGCACCUGGCGUGUUGGCGUAGCAACUCAAGCAGGGCCAGUCCGCACACGAAAUGGCGACACACUUAACUGGACCCCUUUGGCCGACAUGUGGCUCAUCCACCGUCUUGUUCCACAUGCGAUGCACCAAAUUAUAGUUCGGAGCAGCGGUUGGAAUUGGAGGCACCCCGGUCGUAGCGCCGCAGUAGUAGGAAAUGAGCAAUGAGGGGUCAAAUCACAAAGUCCCACCUUUCCCGCAUUAAGCUGGACGGACGAAGCAACCAUCAUUUCACUCUAGGGAGCAAGAGCAUAAAGAAAAGAGAAAACCAAUGAUGCGUGCGGCAGCUACCUAGGGCACCCUAGGGUAGGGGUCUCCACUACAGAUCAUUUUUUUGAAAGCGCCUCCACUACAAAUCGGCUUCUCCCUUGUCCUCUUGAAGAAAACCGAUGAUGCGUGCAGCGGUAGGGUUUGUAGGAGUACUACUAGGGCGUGCGGGGCCACGUCGUAGUAAACGGGAGAGGGAUUGAGUUCGAGUCGACGCCUUAAAUAUGUGUGGGCCGCUUGGUUUUAGGGGAACGAGGCAGCAUUUUGGGUUCGGGGACGAGUGGAGAUAUAGUACGUACAAAAAAUUGUGGACGUAGGUUCGACCGAAAGGCAAUGAUGCAUGGGCCCUGCAUUUUGAUAUACCCGGGGCGCGUGAAAUUUGCUACUCUACUCAAAACUAGGAAGGUACACAUGCAUUGAACGCAUGAGAUUUCAAAACCAAAUUAUGAAUAAAUACACACUAUAGCAUGUAAAGCUUUGAGUCAUAUAUGCAUGAUGUAGAUGUUCGUUUAGUUCUUAUAGUUCAUCUCAUUCAAAAUCAAUUAGUUUUACAAAAUGUUAAGAUUCAUGGGGUUGUGCAUUGUAAAGCAUAAAGUAAAAAACAAAUAAUGGCAAUUCAUUUAGAAAAAAAAAUCAAUUAUGAUACGGAAGAUUCUAGAACAAAGGAGAAGUGCUUGUGUUUUGAGGUUUGUGCAUUAUGCUUAAGUUCAACCAUGGAGUCUUCUAAAUUGUACAUGUGGCAGAUCUGGUGGAAUGUUGAUGAUAUCCAACGGCCAGUAGUGCUCGGAUUUGCCAUCUCUGCACUGUCGGAUUAGCUUCAUCCAGUGACCAUCUUUCAAGUUGUUCUUGUGCCAUAGUUGCAUGUCUUGGAAAAAAGCUACUAGUGGGUUGUACUAGCUAUUUAGGAAUAGAAGAUGUAUACAUGGAAGUUGUAGGGAAAGAGAUGACAUGGAGUAUCUCAAUUCCUAUGAGUAGGGAUUGGAAAAGAGAUGUCAUUUGGUUGACAUCAUAGGAACUUUUCUAUUGAAUCUAGAGAUGACAUGUAUCUCAAUUCCUAUGAGGAGGGAUUACAAAAGAGAUGUAAUUUGGUUCAUAUCAUAGGAACUUUUCUAUUGAAUAUACGUUAAUGUUUAUUUUCCUUUGAAAUUAUGGGAGUAUAGGAAUCCAUUCAUAUGAACCAAGUGGCUCUAAAGCUAUAGAAAUGAUAUCAUGUUUAUUUCCUUUGAAAUGUGGAGUAUAUGAAUCUAUUCCUAUGAACCAAUUGGCUCUAAAGGAAAAAAUCCUAUAAAAAUCAUAUCAUAUAGAGUUCCUAUCAUGUUCCUCCACACCAAAGGAUGGUUGAAAUUGCUGCAGGUGAUACGAUGGUCUUUCUUUGUAGACUCCUCCCCCAUCUUUAUAGUUACCUCUCGAAGAUUAAUGAAAUGAUAUAUACAGGGUAUUCUACAUGUGCAAUUUGGUACACGAAAACUCGAUAAAAGUUUGCGAGGUUUGGAUUUUCAAUAAAGCUAUAUGUACUGCAUUUUGGAACGGAGGGAGCAUACGACAGUUGCUAACACUCACGUGGAAGAUUUGUGUGUAGGAGGAGUGGCUGUUCUGUUAAAUGACAUGGCAAAACUGACACUGUCGGAUGCCGAUCUAACGGUUCUUACGGUGUUCGUCCGGAAAAGGCUUGUGGCGAACGUUUGUCGGAUAAUGUUUACGGACACAUGAAUUGCAUUGAUACGUGCCCCCCUCUCUCUCACGCACACGCACCCUCCCGAGUCCUCUCGCACCCACCGUCUAUCUGCAGGUAGACGUCACACACAUAAUGCUCUUCACACCCUACCCUUAGAACUUCUAAAAAACAAAAGACAUCGCGCACAUUUUAUUUUAGCUCACACGUCAAACACUUAUACUAUUACUCUUGUGGCGAACGUUCUUUGGGCAUAGUAUAUUGUACUCUCACGAAGAGAACCGGUGCACGCACGCACUAGUUCUCUCACACCCACUCGCGGGUACAUGUAGGAGCGCAUUUUUUUGAAGCUGGUACAACAAAAUCACUCCACUAUAUAUAUAAGCAGGAGCCUUAGUGCUUGCUUUACUAGGGUUCCUCUCGUUCACUCUCUCAUGCUCUCCAUAUCUAAGCAAGACAUAGGUGGCCACACUCUCUCUCAGCUCACGGCUGGUCACAAAUCCGGCCGGACAACCUCGACCAGGGCAGGGGUGUAUGUGCGUCGUUCACGCUGUCGUCGGCGGUGAGGGAGGAGACCAACGGCUGCCCGCGUGUCCCGAUCGGCGGCCGUGCCGUUCUCUCCGAGAGAGCGCCGGCUCCGGAGGACCUCCGACCCCUUCUUCCUCCCUGCGGUAUUGUGGCCAAGAUGCGGCCUCCCGACGCCGUCUUUGCCACAUGCCGACGACCCUCAGGUAUAUAUUCCUUCGAAACCUGCCUUGCUCUACUACCCCAGCUCCCCACUUGGCUUCGUGUGGAUCUUUUUCUACUUCUGUCCGCUGUUCCAAAGCCACCUAGACUUUUACUAUUAUUAGAGGUAAAGCUAGCUCAUACAGUCGACUCUAAGAGUUGGUUCAAACAGGGAAGAAAGUGGGAAAGCUGUAGCAUGAAUCUAGGACUUGGUUCUAAGAGGAAACGGGGGAAAGUAGUAGAUACUGGCUACCCAACCGGUCUCUUGGUUGAAAUGACGAAGGGUGGGGGGAAGUGGACCUAUCUCUUGGUUGCAAAAGGAAAGAAAGUGACGGGUGUUGGGGGACAACGCAAAUGACAAUAAGCAGGUCUAGAUUUCCUGUGCUCACAUAGGAAAAUGUCGCUGAGGAGAUAAAAAAUGGGACAAAUGCAGACAUGCUGCCUGAGUGUUUGCCGCUCUCGGCAACCACAUCUGCCUCACCACUUUAUGCCUCUGCUGUCCCUACGCCCAUAUCGCUACCGUUAAUGUAAAAUCACAUGAAGCAUUAAGCAAUGCCACCUAAUGUCACUAUAAGUAAUGGUCUAGUGCCGUCGAUAAAUUGAAGCAAUGCCACCACCAUUUUAUGAAGUGCUUUCGUCUUGCUUUAUUUCCCAUGAAUUGUGUUUUUACAAUUACACUUAAAUCUCACACCGCUAACAUUGCUUCAUCCCAGUGGAACUGCACAAAUUUGAUUGCACAUUUACUGACCAUGUGCUACUCUCAUGACAGUAAUACUAAUGCUAUUGUUCUGCAUGUUAAUCUAGUGGCAGUGUUGAUGUGAUGUGAUGCUACUUACUUAAGGACACUUUCAUACUGUCAAUCUAGUGCCAAUUAUAACACAAUAGAUGCUGCUGUUAAUCAUACGCCACUGCAAAUAUCUGUCACUGUUUAAAUAACCGUAUUUCGUAUUUGCGCAAACAGGGAUGUCUGUCUCCAUAUUGUUUCGGGAUGUCUGUCUCCAUAUCGUUUCUAUCCGCGCAACCAAAAGCACACUCCUCAGUUUUAGUAGAACUGCGCAAAAUGAGAUGGCUAUCCCUCGUUGUCGUCGUCUAACCACCCGUCUUCCAGGUAUUCCUACAUUGGUAGUUACUAGGUAGAAUGACCAAUGCAAUAUAAAAGAAGUUGAUUCGUACAUUUUACUUCCUGGUUGCAGUGUAGGGACGAGCGAAAACAACUGCAUCCUAGUCCGGAAUGCACUUUCUACCAGUUCAUCCAUGGAGCGAGGACUAGCUGGCACGGCUGCACGGCGGUUUUUUGGACAGGUGCGCGGACAAGAGGCAUUGUGGUCUGCUUAUUUCUGCAAAUAGCGGUGCUUAAAUUUAGUGGAAUGCACAAGAAUUUCAGCUGGUCAGUACACUACAUGGUUCAGUUCAGCAUUCCAGCUGAGAACACAACUAUAAUUGGUUAUUCUGGAAUGAGAGAACCUAACCCUGGAUGGUGGCAACAAGAAAAAACCAGAGUGAACUCCAGGAAAUUUAAGCCUGCCGGGAGGCCCUUUGCUCAGAGAAGCCUUGCUUGUUUUUUCCUGAUUUGUAAACCUUCUCACAACUUUGUCUUUUGCUGUGAACUAGUAUAUGUUUGUUAUGUUCUAUGAAUCAUUGAGAUGUAUAAAAUUGCUUAACUUAUGCUUUUCAAGUUUUUUAUGAAGCCGAGUUUAAUUUGAGUGUUCCACAUGAACGAUGGACUAGCGUGUGAACGUUUGGAAUUUACAUUGUGGCCUCAGUUAACUACAUGAACCACUGUAACAAGAUACAUAGUUGCUUAUAUGUUAGACAACAGAUUGUUGAUUGUUAGCUGGUCGAUAGCCUAGUGUUGAAGCGAGCUGAGCCAAUGUGCCGUGUUUUGCACAACUGCUUACAAGUGGGGUAGCACCAACAGUGUUUACAAGUACUUAUGUAUACGUCAGCGCACAGUUCUCAAACGAGUACUCUAUUUCAUCAAAACACACGCUGCUCGUAUGAUAAAACUAGUGAGGACACAUCUGUUUCGGCAACAAUUACGAUGAUUCACGGGCACACAAAAGUAGCAACAGUUCCCAUAGACGGAUUCAAACAGAGUACUAGCCCCAGAGGGCUCGAUAACAGGCAAGGUUUGAAUAAUUAGACAGAAUCCAAACUACUAUUAAACACUAGCUGGGGCAAGUAUUUCAUGCCUCGAUCUAAUUUGGGCUGGACACAAGACGGACCUUGCCAUGAACAUCAUCAAGGACGUCCGGCAGCAGCUCAAUCCUGUGAACCUUCAUGAAGACAACCUUGUGGCCUUGCCACUCAUAAACUUGUUUGUGGAGGCAUGCCACGUCAUCUUCCUGCGUAAGCUUGACAAGAAUAGUAUGCCUCACAAACGAAGGAGUAGCUUUGAACUUCUUGUGCUUCAGUACACCCUGGACAACACGCCUGACAACAGUGAGGCUGGAAUACAACUCUUCAUUGGUAUAAGCGCAAAUGGCUUCCAGGAUCCAACGGCCUAAAAACUCUGUUUUCCCAGUGCGUAUAUUCAGGUCAUCCGCCUCAUAGCGAGUGACAUGUACAACCACACAAUCCUUGUCUGCAUCAGGGCUCUAAUUGAAAUAGAAACAAAUUAUGAAUUACUUUCCAGUAUAAGAAACACAAGUUAUUUAAACCACUAUGUAUAGCAUGGCAUCGAAGCUAAUAAAAUUUUGCAUUAUUCAUCACCACAUACUUAGAUGAAAAACCAUAAUCGAGAUCUGCAAAGAAGAAAAUCACCUUGGGCAGCUCAGCGGGGGGGGGGGACACAUCGUCGAUGGGGGAAAACUGCUCCUGCAGUGCCACGGGGGCUGUAGCCUCAAACAGGGCGUUGACCAUCUCAGUAGUGGCCGUGAGCGUAUGUGGGGUCGGCUCGGUGGCUGCCUCCAUCUUCUUGGAGCUCUCUGUCUCGUGGGGAUCAGCCUCCCACGUCUGCUCCAAUAUCGGCAGAUCUUUGCCCGGUUCUCCUUGGUCCAUCAUGAAACUGACGAAUACUAGGAGACCACUGAAAGGAAAACACAAUCGCAAUGACAAUGAAACAAAAAAGAGUGAGGAUCGAUUACUGCUUUGCAAAAGUUCUUUUUUUUCUCUGAACGAAAAUAUACCAACAUCACAGAUCUGCUUACCUUCCCUUUGUUGGGAGAGAAGAAGAGUGGCAGAUGUGAGUGUUGGCUUUCUUGAAGACGGUGAGGGAGAAGGGGAUUCAGCGAAGAGUGAAAUGAUGGUUUCUUCGUCCGUCAAACUUAGACUGCGGGGAGGUGGGGUUUUGUGAUACGAAUGCUCGUUAUUGCCACGCUACGACCGGGGUGACUCUCCGCCUGCAUACUGCCUUCUAAUUUGGUGAAUGGCAUUUGGGCCCGCGCGCUGCAUGGCCCGCAUGUCGGUGAACAAAAGUAUAACGGCAUUCAGUAGAGGGAGACGUUUCGAUGACCUAGGAGGAGCCAGAAGCGGUAUUGUAUCCACUGUACUAGUAGUAAUUGUUUUUCUGGGUAGCUGUAGGGUGUCUCCACUGUACUAGUAGUAAUUGUUUCUCUGGGCCCAAGACAAAACAUCCCAUCCACCCUAGUAAAUAGUAAAAUUAAUUCAAAAGUCCAUAUAUUUACUGAAUGGGAGGCGCUACCCACACCCAGCACACCGCCCCCAAAAAACCUGGGGGUUCUUCUUCUUCCUCACUCCCACCCACCUCACGUCAGCUCACUCCACUCGUACCCCCAAAUUCCUCACCUCACUCCUACAGAAAACCCAAGCUCCCCUUCUUCCUCACUACUACAGAAAAACCCCAGCUCCCCUUCUUCUUCACUCGCACUACAACUAGGCUCGUCAUUCGUUACUCUGCUCAAAUCCGUGAGCGCGACGCAACGCCCUCGAGGAAAAUGGAGUCGGCUGACCCCAGCGCCAAGAAGAUGAGGCUCCCACCAGCGGUGACGCCUUGUAUACAUCCUGCACCCGGCAGUGCGGGGAGAAGCGGCGACCCCGCCCCCACCGGAUCCCAGGAACCCGUAGAAUCUCGGGUGGACCGCAUCAGCGAUCUCCCGGACGCCGUCCUUGGGGAGAUCAUCUCGCUUCUCCCCACCAAGGAUUGCUGCCGCACCCAAGUCCUCUCAAUUCGGUGGCGCCCUCUAUGGCGCGCCGUGCCCCUUAAUAUCGAAUGUCCUCAGCUAUCUCUCUUCAAUGAUUUUUAAAUCCCCAGAGCCAUCAUCUCCUCCCACCAGGGCUCCGUUCAAAGCCUCUGCAUCCCGUCAUGCUAUAUGAGCAAGCAUGCCAUGCCCUGCAUGGUGGACGCGUGGCUGAAAUCCCCUGAAUUCACAGAACUACAGCUGCUUGAGUUCUACUAUUCCCCUGGAAAUCACCUACCAGAUACUGAACGCCAUCUAUCUGUGCCCUCAGCACCGAUGUCCAUCUCGCGGUUUUCCUCCUCUCUCCACACCGCCACCUUUGCGCUGUGCGACCUACCAGACAAUCUGGUACUAAACCUUCGACUCCCAUUUCUUAAGAAACUUUCACUUGUGCGGGUUCGUAUAUCGGAGGCCUCAUUGCACAACAUCAUCCACUCCAGUUGCCCUGCCCUGGAGUGCUUGGUGCUUGUUUUCACAGUUAGAAUCGGUUGUCUCCAAAUAAAGUCGCCUAACCUUGUAAGAAUUGGAAUUUGUUUUGACGGAAGGCAGCUCAUCAUCCAAGAUGCCCCUUCACUUCAAAGGUUGAUCCUUGAUUCUAUUUAUUCACCGUUGCAAAUAACCGUCCUCUCUGCGCCUAAACUGGAGACCUUGGGUGUAAUACAUGAUCUCUUUGCUCAUUUCAAUAUGGUGUUUGGCUCCAUAGUUCUUCAGGUACUUUACAUUAUCAUCUACACUUGUAACCAUAAGCUGCAUUUUAAAUUUCUGCGCAUAAGUUAUAUGUCAUCUUGGAGUACACAUUUUGUACUAAUAUUAUGUUCUAUGCUCAAUGAAGAGUUUCUCCAUGGAUGGCCUAUCAAUGGUGAUGGAUUCUGUCAAGAUCUUAUAUAUCCAGAUGAAUAGUUAUGAUCUGAACAAGAUUACUGGCUUGCUGCAAUGCUUUCCAUGUCUGGAGAAGUUUUAUAUAAAGGUGAUAAUUUCACGCACAUUGGAAGCCCGCAUAUAGUGUACUAGAAUUAACCGUUCAGCUGUUGCUCUUUCGACACUCUGUUUUUAGACCUUAACUGUUUUCAAUCUUCAUGUCUAUUUAGGCAACAGGACGGGGUAAGAAAGUUAUAACCAAUCGGUGGAUUCGUAAGCAUCGGGAUUUUCUCACUUCUCAUGAGAUUCGAUUGAAGACAAUAACGCUAGAACAAUAUGUAGCCAACCGUGCAAACACUAGAUUUGUCACAUUCUUCCUGCUGAAUUCGAGGUUACUAUUGUCCAUCAGGCUUAAGUUUAUCAGCAGCAUGGUUUUGACGGAUGGGUAUGUGGAAGAGCAAAAAAAGGAGUUUCAGGUGGGCAAAAGAGCUUUUGAACGUGUCGGGCUUCUAUUUACAACAUAUUGUGGUCAUAAUCCAGUAAUUUUUACGACCCAGGAUGUUCAUUCUAUGGACCUGACCGAUCCAUUUGACUGUGACUGCCAAAAACAGUGGUGGAGUUAGAUGUUGUUGCCCUUUUCAACCUGGGUUUUUUUGUAAACCUGAUGAACAAUUAACCCUCAUGCUUUUGUAUAGUUUGUAAGCUGGAGUUAGAUGUUCUUGCCCUUUUCAACUCGGCUGUGACUGUCAUAUUUUCUUUGAAGCAAGGAAAAUGGCUUGCCAGUCGUUUAAUUUAGAGUGAAAUAUUGUAACAACUAACAAAUCCCAACCAAGGGAAAUAACAUCACUCUCGCCGGUUGCUUGAGCUCACUGUGCAUUACAGAAGCCAAGUGAUUAGCCCCCACCAGCACCCACAAACUUAUUUCCAACUAGCACAUCAAAUGGGCUGUAAUUUUCGUAGGAAGGGCUGCAUGACCGUGACAGAUUUGGAUUCUGACAUUUGGGACCCGCGAGGAAAUAGCCUAUCCAAGGUGGUGUCGACUUACUAGCCAGUCAACAAACGAUUCUGCCUACCAGCCGUUGGAUUGACAUCCAACAUCUGUCGUGUGUCUUCUAUCUCUUGUCUUCUUCUUCCUCCAGCCACCCAAACCAAACCACCCCGUCGGCUCCGCCUGCUCCCGCCUCCCAUGGCUGGCUGCGCCUCCGCCGCCCUACCGUAUGUACCCUCCAACGUUGGCCAGUCCCUCCCUCUAUUCCCCCACACGUCAUGUUAUUCUCUGGCGACGUCAGCCCCAACACGCACCCGCACCCGAACCAGUCAACCCUCGUACUCCCCUCCGCCUGCGACUGGACCGGCGCAUCUUCCACGGCUCCUGUUCGUUCCAUCCGAGGCCUCGUCGUCGUCCUCCGCCUUGCGGCCUUGGUUCGCUCGCCGUGCGCGGUGCGCCGCCCUCUUGUGUUGUCAACGUCGUCAACAACCAAGAGGAACAAGGAGAUGGCUGUACGUGGAGAGGAUGACAGUAGGGACCCACCAGCGUCAUGGCGGUACGCAAGCAAGUGCCUCUAUAUUACAAGCCCAAAAAUAUGGUUCCUCCUAAUAGUUGGACAUCUGGGGCUCACGCCAUUGUCAACAUAGUCAAUAAACGAGAGAAUUACACUACGAGCGGCUGACACCAGGGACCCAGCAGGUCGCGCGGUUUUUUUAGGAACAAGCAGUUGUUAUUUAUACUAGUUUUAGCGAUGGAGUAGGGUAACAACGGGGUUGUGCGGGGGCUGUGGCCCAUCUAGCCAGGGUUUUAUUUAUGUUUACCACAUCAUGAGCCCAGUUGUGUUUUUUUCUUGCUGAAAAUGGUUAGCCUAGUUCUAUUUUUUUAAGAAAUACCCAAACGAAGCCUACUUGCUUUAGCAGCCCUGCUGGGCUGCAAAUCUUUCAAGACGAGGAGAGUUUCAUUCGGUUUGCCCAGAAAUGGGCUGUACAUUUUUAAAACACAUCAAACCGGGAAUUAGUUUCAAUUUUUUUCAUUACAAGAUUUUAAAUUCCAUUGAUUUUUAUGCGUGGAAAAUUAUUUGGAUUUUAUAUUUAUAUAAAUUAUUUUUCAAAAUAGUUUGAAUGUGAAUCGAUAUUUCGGGAUUAAAAACAGUUGACCGCACCGAAAUAUGCAAAAAAUUCGUAUACUUUUUAACCGUGGCCACAAUAUGGGGUGUAAUGCUAACAAAAAGAAGAUGGGCUCCAAAAAAAUUCUUAAAAAUUAGCAAAUGGGUUGUACAUUAUUAGAAAUAAUGCACACGAGAGCAGUGACAAUUGGAUGUCCAUCCAACGGCUAUCGUGCUUUUUCAAUCUCUGCUUUUCCUGCUCCAGCCGCUCAAACAAGCGCCGGCUGCCUGCUCCCUCCUCCCGCGGCCGGCUAUGUUGCCGCGCAGGCCUCACCGCCCCACUGUACUCCCAUCGCUGGCCUAGCCAUCCCUCUACUCACCCACACCUACUGUUAUUCUCCGGGGAUGGCAGACGAACCAGUAAACCCUCGUACUCCUUCGCAUGGGAAACAACUGCCGAGUCUUCCCUGGCUCCGUGUCGUUCCCUUCCUAGGCCUCGUCGUCGUCCACCACCCUGGUGCUCUUGGCGCGGCCUGGUUAACGUGGUCAAUGAACGACAUCCAUCGGAAGUGGACUGUACGUGGAGAGGCUGACAACUGGGUCCACGGCCGCACGCAAGGAAAUGCCUCCUUAUUACGCGCAAAAUAAUGAUUCCUCCNNNNNNNNNNNNNNNNNNNNNNNNNNNNNNNNNNNNNNNNNNNNNNNNNNNNNNNNNNNNNNNNNNNNNNNNNNNNNNNNNNNNNNNNNNNNNNNNNNNNNNNNNNNNNNNNNNNNNNNNNNNNNNNNNNNNNNNNNNNNNNNNNNNNNNNNNNNNNNNNNNNNNNNNNNNNNNNNNNNNNNNNNNNNNNNNNNNNNNNNNNNNNNNNNNNNNNNNNNNNNNNNNNNNNNNNNNNNNNNNNNNNNNNNNNNNNNNNNNNNNNNNNNNNNNNNNNNNNNGACCCACCAUCUAUAUCUUCGCACGCUAGGAAGUGCCUCCUUAUGACGCACAAAAAGAUGAAUACCCCCUGCUAGCUGGGACCCACCAUAGUGGGUGGCUGACUUGUGGUCCUACUAAGUUGACGGGGACAGAGGGCUUUGUCAACUUAGUCAAUAUGAACGAUUCUAGCUCCAAUGACCGUACGAUGUCCAUCCAACGGCCAUAGUGCUUCUUCAACCUCUGGUCUUCUUGCUCCAGCCGGCCAAAGCAGCGCCGGUCGUGCCGCCUGCUCCUGCCUCCCGUGGCCGGCUGUGCUGCCGCGGAGGCCUCACCGCCCCCAUACUACUCCCACCGCUGGCCAGGCCAUCCCUCCACUCACCCACACCCCCUGUUAUUCUGCGUCGACGGCAGCCUCACACCGCAGCCGAACCAGUGAACCCUUGUACUCCUCUCCGCGUGGGCAUCCACUGCCACGUCUUCCCCGGCUCCGCGUCGUCCCCUUCCUAGGCCUCACCGUCGUCCACCGCCUUGGUUCUCUCGGCGCGGCGUGGUCAAUGUGGUCAACGACCGACUUCCAUCGGAAGAGUACUGUACGUGGAGAGCCUGGCAGCUGGGUCCACGGCCACAGCCCAGUUUUUUUGUGAUUUGCCAAGUAAGUCGCUUUGUCAGGCCUGUUGGGCUGCAGAUCUUUCAAGACGAGGAGAGCUUCAUUCGGCUGGCCGAGAAAAUGGCCUAUCAGUAAUGAGAAAUGGGAUGUACAUUUUUAAAACACAUCAAACCGGCAAUUAGUUUCAAAUUUCUUUUUUCAUUUCGAGAUUUUAAAUUGCAUUGAUUUUUAUGCGUGGACAAUUUGUUGGAUUUUACAUUGAUAUACAUUUAUUUUUAAAAUCAGUUUCAAUGUGACUCGAAAUUUUGGGAUUAAAAACAGUUCGGACCGCACCGAAAUAUGCAAAAUUUCGUAUAGUUUUUUAACCGUGGCCACAAUAUGGGUUGUAAUGCUAACAAAAAGAAUAUGGGCUCCAAAAAAACCUUAAGAAUUAGCAAAUGGGCUGUAAAUUAUUAGAAAUAAUGGCAGAUGGGUUGUAUGAUGUUUUCCACAGAUUUGAGGCUUUCCUAAAAAAAGGUUGACGCAGAAGCAGUGACUGUUGGAUGUCCAUCCAAGGGCCGUCGUGCUUCUUCAAUCUCUGCUCUUCCUGCUCCAGCCGCUCAAACAAGCGCCGGCGGGACUACCUGCUCUCUCCUCCCCGCGGCCGGCUGUGCUGCCGUGCAGGCCUCACCGCCCCACCAUACUCCCAUCGCUGGCCUAGCCAUCCCUCUACUCACCCACACCUACUGUUAUUCUCCGGCGACGGCAGACGAACCAGUAAACCCUCGUACAGUCGUACUCCCCUCCGCGUGGGAAACAACUGCCGAGUCUUCCCUGCCUCCGUGUUGUUCCCUUCCUAGGCCUCACCGUCGUCCACUGCCCUGGUGCUCUCGGUGCGGCCUGGUCAACGUGGUCAACGACCAACAUGCAUCUGAAGUGGACUGUACGUGGAGAGGCUGACAGCUGGGUCCACGGCCGCACGCAAGGAAAUGCCUCCUUAUUACGCGCAAAAUAAUGAUUCCUCCACCUGACAUCUGGGACCCACCAAAAGGGCCUCUGUAUUUCGCGAAAAAAACGUUACCGCCGCUGAUAGCUCGGACCCACCAGCUAUAUCUUCGCACGCAAGGAAGUGCCUCCUUAUUAUGCACAAAAAAUGAAUAUUCCCCCUGUUAGCUGGGACCCAGUAUAGUGGCAAGCUAACUUGUGGGCCUACUAAGUUGACGGGGACGGAGGGCUUUGUCAACUUAGUCAAUAUGCACGAUUCUAGCUUUAGUGACCGUACGAUGUCCAUCCAACGGCCGUAGUUCUUCUUCAAGCUCUGGUCUUCUUGCUCCAGCCGCCCAAACCAGCGCCGGUCGUGCCGCGUGCUCCUGCCUCCCAUGGCCGGCUGUGCUGCCGCGGAGGCCUCACCGCCCCUACUACUCCCACCGUUGGCCAGGCCAUCCCUCCACUCACCCACACCCCCUGUUAUUCUGCGGCGACGGCAGCCUCACACCGCAGCCGAACCAGUGAACCCUCGUACUCCUCUCCGCGCGGGCUUCCACUGCCGUGUCUUCCCCGGCUCCGCAUCGUCCCCUUCCUAGGCCUCGUCGUCGUCCACCGCCCUGGUGCUCUCGGCGCGGCGUGGUCAACGUGGUCAAGGAACAGCUUCCAUCGAACGUGGACUGUAUGUGGAGAGGCUGACAGCUGGGUCCACGGCCGCAGCAAGGAAGUGCCUCCUUAUUACGCGCAAAAUAAUUAUUCCUCCACCUGACAGUGGGGACCCAUCGGACGGGCCACCGUAUUUCAUGAAAAAAUGUUUCCCCCUGACUGCUGGGACCCACCAGCUACAUCUUCGCAUGCAAGGAAGUGUGUCCAGGCAAAAAAAAUGAUUCACCCCCCUGACUGCUGGGACCCACCAGCUACAUCUUCGCAGGCAAGGAAGUGCGUGACAGUCGGGACCCACCUGGUCGAAGCGUACGUAGCGUUGUCAUUCUGGUCGCGAACAUGUACGUACAUACUGGUCGAUGUAGAGGCGCGCACGUGUCGUAGUAGAGGAGCGCACGUAGCAUGUACACGUACGUACAGCGGCCAGUGUGCAAGAAAGAAAAUACGGCCGCGUACGUACAUACGGGCAGGGUCUCGAAUGCCUACUCACGCAUACGUACGGCCAGGGCUCGUGUACAUGGCUGGGUCGGAACGGAGAAACUGCAUUGUCGUCGUGUUCAUGGGGAGGCAACGAAAUGCGUCGUGUUCAUCGGGAAGCAACGGAAAGCGUGGGAGCCAACCGGCUUGGACGGAACAGCCGAUGGAAACGAGGCCUGGCGUGCCGCAGAACGGAGGAAACGGCCUUGUGUUCGACCGGCCACGGUCGAAACAGGAUCCUGUUCAUCUGGAGGGGUCUGGCGUACCGCAAAACGGAGGAAACGGACCUCCUACGGUCGAAACGGGGCUCCUGUUGAUCGGGAGGGGUGUGGCGUACCGCAAAACGGAGGAAACGGACUUGUGUUGGAGCGCUAUGGUCGAAAUGGGGGUCUUGUUCAUCGGGAGGGGUGUGGCGUACCGCAAAACGGGACUCCACGGGAUACUGUUCAUCUCCACCGUCGACCCCCUCCAGCCUCCACGGGCUGCUGUUCAUCCACCGUCGACCUCCUCCUGCCUCCACCUGCGACUAUUCAUCCACGGGCUCCUGUUCAUCCAGACUCCACCGCGCGCUACUCCACCGGCUACUGUUCAACCACCCCUCUCCACGGGCUCAUGUUCAACCACCCCUCCACGGGCUACUGUUCAUCCAGCCCUCCAUCGUCUACUGUUCAUCCUGCCCUCCACGGGGUGGUCCUGUUCAUCCUGCCCUCCACGGGGUCCUGUUCAUCCUGCCCUCNNNNNNNNNNNNNNNNNNNNNNNNNNNNNNNNNNNNNNNNNNNNNNNNNNNNNNNNNNNNNNNNNNNNNNNNNNNNNNNNNNNNNNNNNNNNNNNNNNNNNNNNNNNNNNNNNNNNNNNNNNNNNNNNNNNNNNNNNNNNNNNNNNNNNNNNNNNNNNNNNNNNNNNNNNNNNNNNNNNNNNNNNNNNNNNNNNNNNNNNNNNNNNNNNNNNNNNNNNNNNNNNNNNNNNNNNNNNNNNNNNNNNNNNNNNNGCGCUACUCCACCGGCUACUGUUCAACCACCCCUCUCCACGGGCUCAUGUUCAACCACCCCUCCACGGGCUACUAUUCAUCUAGCCCUCCACCGUCUACUGUUCAUCCUGCCCUCCACGGGGUGGUCUUGUUCAUCCAGCCCUACACGGGGUCAUGUUCAUCCAGCCCCAACCGGCUCGAUUGAUCGGGGUCCUCUUCAUCCAGAUGCAACACCACGGGGUCGUGUUCAUCCACCCCCACCGGGAACUGUUCAUCCAAACCCCCCAGCAACGCUCACUGUUCAUCCAGAGGCAACACCACGGGGUCCUGUUCAUCCACCCCCACCGGGAACUGUUCAUCCAAACCCCCCCAGCAACGCUCACUUUUCAUCCAGAGGCAACAUCGAUCGGCUUCAGUUAGCAGCAGUAGCGAAGGAAUCGCUCAAUCGGGUUCAGUUAACAGCCAUCGAUCGAUCGCUCGGGUUCAGUAACGCGUAGCCUGCAGUGCAAUCGCUCGGGUUCAGUUAGGGCCCAACGCCUCGCUCGGGUUCAGUUAGAGCCCAACGCCUCGCACCCACGCGCGUGCGUGUACGAGAGAAACGCGCAUCGCUCGGCCCCGACCACCCAUCGUAACUGGGAACACCCCGAUAUUUUCCUCGUCCUCGCUUCUACCACGGUUUUUUCCAUCAUGGACGGCCCAAAGAAUGUCAUGCGGCUGCGUCUCCGGCCCGCCCAGGACGAAAAGCCCAUUUUCUGUCAUGAUUUUUUGUCAUAGAAGUAGGACCCCACCACAUCUAUGAUGAUACCGAGUUUUGUCACAAUUAUCGUCAUAGAAGUGUCAUAAGUAUGACAGAAAAAAUUCAUUCGGCCCAAAAUGUCACGGAUGUGUCUUUUUUUGUAGUGCAUGUGUGUCUCUCCAAGAGGUGUGUACAGCAAGGAUGAUUGUGGUAAACUAAAAAGCAAAGACUCAAAUCAUACAAGACGCUCCAAGCAAAACACAUAUCAUGUGGUGAAUAAAAAUAUAGCCUCAAGUAAAGUUACCGAUAGAUGAAGAUGAAAGAGGGGAUGCCUUCCGGGGCAUCCCCAAGCUUAGGCUUUUGGUUGUCCUUGAAUUUUACCUUGGGGUGCCUUGGGCAUCCCCAAGCUUAGGCUCUUGCCACUCCUUAUUCCAAAAUCCAUCAAAUCUUUACCCAAAACUUGAAAACUUCACAACACAAAACUCAACAGAAGAUCUCAUGAGCUCCGUUAGUAUAAGAAAACAAAUCACCACUUUAAGGUACUGUAAUGAACUGCUACCUCUUGAGCACUGCAUUGGUUUUCCCUUGAAGAGGAAAGGGUGAUGCAGCAAAGUAGCGUAAGUAUUUCCCUCAGUUUUUGAGAACCAAGGUAUCAAUCCAGUAGGAGGCCACGUACGAGUCCCUCGCACCUACACAAACAAAUAAAUCCUCGCAACCAACGCAAUAAAGGGGUUGUCAAUCCCUUCACGGUCACUUACGAGAGUGAGAUCUGAUAGAUAUGAUAUGAUAAUAUUUUUGGUAUUUUUAUGAUAAAGAUGCAAAGUAAAGAAAACAAAAUAAAAACGGCGCCAGAAAUAGCUUGUUGUCGGGAGAUUAAUAUGAUGGAAAAUAGACCCGGGGGGCAUAGGUUUCACUAGUGGCUUCUCUCAAGAGCAUAAGUAUUACGGUGGGUGAACAAAUUACUGUUGAGCAAUUGACAGAAUUGAGCAUAGUUGUGAGAAUAUCUAGGUAUGAUCAUGUAUAUAGGCAUCACGUCCGAGACAAGUAGACCGACUCCUGCCUGCAUCUACUACUAUUACUCCACACAUCGACCGCUAUCCAGCAUGCAUCUAGAGUAUUAAGUUCAUAAGAACAGAGUAACGCUUUAAGCAAGAUGACAUGAUGUAGAGGGAUAAACUCUUGCAAUAUGAUAUAAACCCCAUCUUGUUAUCCUCGAUGGCAACAAUACAAUACGUGCCUUGCUGCCCCUACUGUCACUGGGAAAGGACACCGCAAGAUUGAACCCAAAGCUAAGCACUUCUCCCAUUGCAAGAAAGAUCAAUCUAGUAGGCCAAACCAAACUGAUAAUUCGAAGAGACUUGCAAAGAUAACCAAUCAUACAUAAAAGAAUUCAGAGAAGAUUUGAAUAUUGUUCAUAGAUAAACUUGAUCAUAAACCCACAAUUCAUCGGUCUCAACAAACACACCGCAAAAGAAGAUUACAUCGAAUAGGUCUCCACGAGAGAGGGGGAGAACAUUGUAUUGAGAUCCAAAAAGAGAGAAGAAGCCAUCUAGCUAAUAACUAUGGACCCGAAGGUCUGAGGUAAACUACUCACACAUCAUUGGAGAGGCUAUGGUGUUGAUGUAGAAGCCCUCCGUGAUCGAUGCCCCCUCCGGCGGAGCUCCGAAAAAGGCCCCAAGAUGGGAUCUCUCGGCUAUAGAAGGUUGCGGCGGUGGAAUUAGGUUUUUUGCUCCGUAUCUGGUAGUUUGGGGGUACGUAGGUAUAUAUAGGAGGAAGGAGUACGUCGGUGGAGCAACAUGGGGCCCACGAGGGUGGAGGCCGCGCCCUGGGGGGGCGCGCCCCCCUACCUCGUACCUUCCUGGUUGAUGUCUUGACAUAGGGUCCAAGUCCUCUGGAUCAUGUUCGUUCCGAAAAUCACGUUCCCGAAGGUUUCAUUCCGUUUGGACUCCGUUUGAUAUUCUUUUUCUGCGAAACUCUGAAAUAGGCAAAAACAGCAAUUCUGGGCUGGGCCUCCGGUUAAUAGGUUAGUCCCAAAAAUAAUAUAAAAGUGUAUAAUAAAGCCCAAUAAUGUCCAGAACAUAAUAUAAUAUAGCAUGGAACAAUCAAAAAUUAUAGAUACGUUGGAGACGUAUCAAGCAUCCCCAAGCUUAAUUCAUGCUCGUCCUCGAGGAGGUAAAUGAUAAAAACAGAAUUUUUGAUGUGGAAUGCUACUUGGCAUAAUUUCAAUGUAAUUCUUCUUAAUUGUGGUAUGAAUAUUCAGAUCCGAAAGAUUCAAGAUAAAAGUUCAAUAUUGACAUAAAAAUAAUAAUACUUCAAGCAUACUAACUAAGCAAUUAUGUCCUCUCAAAAUAACAUGGCCAAAGAAAGUUCAUCCCUACAAAAUCAUAUAGUUUAGUCAUGCUCCAUUUUCAUCAAACAAGAAUGCUCUCAUCAUGCACAGCCUCGAUGACAAGCCAAGCAAUUGUUUCAUACUUUAGUAAUCUCAAACUUUUUCAACCUUCACGCAAUACAUGAGCGUGAGCCAUGGAUAUAGCACUAUGGGUGGAAUAGAAUAUAAUGAUGGGGGUUAUGUGGAGAAGACAAAAAAGGAGAAAGUCUCACAUCAAUGAAGCUAAUCAAUGAGCUAUGGAGAUGCCCAUCGAUUGAUGUUAAUGCAAGGAGUAGGGAUUGCCAUGCAACAGAUGCACUAGAGCUAUAAAUAUAUGAAAGCUCAACAAAAGAAACUAAGUGGGUGUGCAUCCAACUUGCUUGCUCACGAAGACCUAGGGCACUUGAAGAAGCCCAUUGUUGGAAUAUACAAGCCAAGUUCUAUAAUGAAAAAUUCCCACUAGUAUAUGAAAGUGACAAAACAAGAGACUCUCUAUCAUGAAGAUUAUGGUGCUACUUUAAAGCACAAGUGUGGUAAAAAGGAUAGUAACAUUGUCCCUUCUCUCUUUUUCUCUCAUUUAAUUUUUUUGGGCCUUCUUCUUUUUUUAUGGCCUUUCUCUUUUUUUCCUCACUUGGGACAAUGCUCUAGAAAAUGAUGAUCAUCACACUUCUAUUUAUUUACAACUCAAUGAUUACAACUCGAUACUAGAAUUAAGUAUGACUCUAUAUGAAUGCCUCCAGCGGUGUACCGGGAUAUGCAAUGAACCAAGAGUGACAUGUAUGAAAGAAUUAUGAAUGGUGGCUUUGCCACAAAUACUAUGUCAACUACAUGAUCAUGCAAAGCAAUAUGACAUGGUGAACGUGUCAUGAUAAACGGAACGGUGGAAAGUUGCAUGGAAAUAUAUCUCGGAAUGGCUAUGGAAAUGCCAUAAUAGGUAGGUAUGGUGGCUGUUUUGAGGAAGAUAUAAGGAGGUUUAUGUGUGAAAGAGCGUAUCAUAUCAUGGGGUUUGGAUGCACCGGCGAAGUUUGCACCAACUCUCAAUGUGAGAAAGGGUAAUGCACGGUACCGAAGAGGCUAGCAAUGAUGGAAAGGUGAGAGUGCGUAUAAUCCAUGGAGUCAACAUUAGUCAUAAAGAACACACAUACUUAUUGCAAAAAUAUACAAGUCAUCAAAAACCAAGCACUACGCGCAUGCUCCUAGGGGAUAGAUUUGUAGGCAAAGACCAUCGCUCGUCCCCGACCGCCACUCAUAAGGAGGACAAUCAAAGAACACCUCAUGUUUCAAAUUUGUUACAUAACGUUUACCAUACGUGCAUGCUACGGGACUUGCAAACUUCAACACAAGUAUUUCUCAAAUUCACAACUACUCAACUAGCACAACUUUGAUAUCACUACCUCCAUAUCUCAAAACAAUCAUCAAGCAUCAAACUUCUCUUAGUAUUCAACACACUCAUAAGAAAGUUUUUACUAGUCUUGAAUACCUAGCAUAUUAGGAUCAUUUAAGCAAAUUACCAUGCUGUUUAAGACUCUCAAAAUAAUCUAAGUGAAGCAUGAGAUAAUAAUAGUUUCUAUAAAACAAAAGUUACCACCGUGCUCUAAAAGAUAUAAGUGAAGUACUAGAGCAAAAACUAUAUAACUCAAAAGAUAUAAGUGAAGCACAUAGAGUAUUCUAAUAAUUUCUGAGUCAUGUGUGUCUCUCUCAAAAUGUGUGUACAGCAAGGAUGAUUGUGGUAAACUAAAAAAGCAAAGACUCAAAUCAUACAAGACGCUCCAAGCAAAACACAUAUCAUGUGGUGAAUAAAAAUAUAGCUCCAAGUAAAGUUACCAAUGGAAGUAGACGAAAGAGGGGAUGCCUUCCGGGGCAUCCCCAAGCUUUGGCUUUUAGGUGUCCUUAGAUUAUCUUGGGGUGCCAUGGGAAUCCCCAAGCUUCGGCUCUUUCCACUCCUUGUUCCAUAAUCCAUCAAAUCUUUUACCCAAAACUUGAAAACUUCACAACACAAAACUUAACAGAAAAUCUCGUGAGCUCCGUUAGCGAAAGAAAACAAAACACCACUUCAAGGUACUGUAAUGAACUCAUUCUUUAUUUAUAUUGGUGUUAAACCUACUGUAUUCCAACUUCUCUAUGGUUUAUAAACUAUUUUACUAGCCAUAGAUUCAUCAAAAUAAGCAAACAACACACGAAAAACAGAAUCUGUCAAAAAAGGAACAGUCUGUAGUAAUCUGUAACUAACGCAAACUUCUGGAACUCCAAAAAUUCAGCCAAAAUAGGACGACCUAGACAAUUUGUUUAUUGAUCAUUAGCAAUUGGAAUCAAUAUUUUAUCACAUUCUGGUGAUUUUUAACAAUUAGUUUCGUGAACAGAAAGUUUCUGGAAUUUUCAGCAAGAUCAAAUAACUAUCAUCCAAGAAGAUCCUAUAGGUUAAACUUGGCACAAACACUAAUUAAAACAUAAAAACACAUCUAACCAAAGGCUAGAUCAAAUAUUUAUUCCUAAACAGAAGCAAAAAACUAAAAACUAAAAAUAAAAUUGGGUUGCCUCCCAACAAGCGCUAUCGUUUAACGCCCCUAGCUAGGCAUUGAGAUUUCGAUGAUGCUCACAUGAAAGACAAGAAUUGAAGCGCAAAGAGAGCAUCAUGAAACACGUGACAAACACAUCUAAGUCUAACAUACUUCCUAUGCAUAGGCAUCUUAUAGGCAAACAAAUUAUCAUAGCAACCAAAAACUAGCAUAUGCAAGGAAGUGAAAAGAAACAAUAGCAAUCUCAACAUAACAAGAGGUAAUUUAUUAUCAUGAAAAUUUCUACAACCAUAUUUUCCUCUCUCAUAAUAAUUACAUGUAGGAUCAUAGGCAAAUUCAAAAAAAUAGCUAUCACAAUAAAUAUUUUCAACACGAUCCACAUGCAUGCAAAGUUGACACUCUUCCAAAAUAGUGGGAUUAACAUUAACUAAAGUCAUGACCUCUCCAAACCCACUUUUAUCAAAAAUACCAUAAGAUUGAACAUUCUCCAAAUAUGUGGGAACUAAAGUUGACACUCUUCCAAACCCACUUUCAAUAUUAUUGCAAAAAUUAUUAUCAAUCUCAUAUUCAGCAUGGGGCUUAAAUAAAUUUUCAAGAUCAAAAGAAGAAUCACCCCAAUCAUGAUCAUUGCAACAAGUAGUAGACAUAGCAAAACUAGCAUCCCCAAGCUUAGGGUUUUGCAUAUUAUUAGAACAAUUGACAUCAAUAGAAUUUAUAAUAAAAUCAUUGCAAUCAUGCUUUUUAUUCAAAGAUCUAUCGUGAAUCGCUUCAUAAAAUACUUCAUCACAAUUUUCAGAUUCACAAAUUUCAAGCAAAACCUCAUAAAGAUAAUCUAGUGCACUCAACUCACUAGCAACAGGUUCAUCAUAAUUGGAUCUCUUAAAGAGAUUAGCAAGUGGAUGAGGAUCCAUAAACUUUUAGCAAGCGAAGAUGCAAGCAAAAAGAAGGCACAUGGUAACACGAGCAAAUAGAAGGACGAACGGAAGAGAGAGGGCGAAUAAAACGGCAAGGGUGAAGUGGGCGAGAGGAAAACGAGAGGCAAAUGGCAAAUAAUGUAUUGCGAGGGAUAAGGGUUUGAGAUGGGUACUUGGUAUGUUGACUUUUGCGUAGACUCCCCGGGAACGGCGCCAGAAAUCCUUCUUGCUACCUAUUGAGCACUGCGUUGGUUUUUCCUUGAAGAGGAAAGGGUGAUGCAGCAUAGUAGCGUAAGUAUUUCCUCAGUUUUUGAGAACCAAGGUAUCAAUCCAGUAGGAGGCCAUGCACGAGUCCCUCGCACCUACACAAACAAAUAAAUCCUCGCAACCAACGCAAUAAAGGGGUUGUCAAUCCCUUCACGGUCACUUACGAGAGUGAGAUCUGAUAGAUAUGAUAAGAUAAUAUUUUUGUAUUUUUAUGAUAAAGAUGCAAAGUAAAGAAAACAAAAUAAAAAUGGCGCCAGAAAUAGCUUGUUGUUGGGAGAUUAAUAUGAUGGAAAAUAGACUCGGGGGCCAUAGGUUUCACUAGUGGCUUCUCUCAAGAGCAUAAGUAUUACGGUGGGUGAACAAAUUACUGUUGAGCAAUUGACAGAAUUGAGCAUAGUUAUGAGAAUAUCUAGGUAUGAUCAUGUAUAUAGGCAUCACGUCCGAGACAAGUAGACCGACUCCUGCCUGCAUCUACUACUAUUACUCCACACAUCGACCGCUAUCCAGCAUGCAUCUAAAGUAUUAAGUUCACAAGAACAGAGUAACGCUUUAAGCAAGAUGACAUGAUGUAGAGGGAUAAACUCAUGCAAUAUGAUAUAAACCCCAUCUUUUUAUCCUCGAUGACAACAAUACAAUACGUGCCUUGCUGCCCCUACUGUCACUGGGAAAGGACACUGCAAGAUUGAACCCAAAGCUAAGCACUUCUCCCAUUGCAAGAACGAUCAAUCUAGUACGCCAAACCAAACUGAUAAUUCGAAGAGACUUGCAAAGAUAACCAAUCAUACAUAAAAUAAUUCAGAGAAGAUUCAAAUAUUGUUCAUAGAUAAACUUGAUCAUAAACCCACAAUUCAUCGGUCUCAACAAACACACCGCAAAAGAAGAUUACAUCGAAUAGAUCUCCACGAGAGAGGGGGAGAACAUUGUAUUGAGAUCCAAAAAGAGUAAACUACUCACACAUCAUCGGAGAGGCUAUGGUGUUGAUGUAGAAGCCCUCCGUGAUUGAUGCCCCCUCCGGCGGAGCUCCGGAAAAGGCCCCAAGAUGGGAUCUCAUGGGUACAGAAGGUUGCGGCGGUGGAAUUAGGUUUUUGGGUCCGUAUCUGGUAGUUUGGGGGUACGUAGGUAUAUAUAGGAGGAAGGAGUACGUCGGUGGAGCAACGUGGGGCCCACGAGGGUGGAGGUGCGCGCCCUGGGGGGGUAGGCGCGCCCCCCUACCUCGUGCCUUCCUGGUUGAUGUCUUGACGUAGGGUCCAAGUCCUCUGGAUCACGUUCGAUCCGAAAAUCACGUUCCCGAAGGUUUCAUUCCGUUUGGACUCCGUUUGAUAUUAUUUUUCUGCGAAACUCUGAAAUAGGCAAAAACAGCAAUUCUGGGUUGGGCCUCCGGUUAAUAGGUUAGUCCCAAAAAUAAUAUAAAAGUGUAUAAUAAAGCCCAAUAAUGUCCAAAACAGAAUAUAAUAUAGCAUGGAACAAUAAAAAAUUAUAGAUACAUUGGAGACGUAUCAUGAACUCAUUCUUUAUUUAUAUUGGUGUUAAACCUACUGUAUUACAACUUCUCUAUGGUUCUUACCCCCCGAUACUAGCCAUAGAUUCAUCAAAAUAAGCAAACAACACACGGAAAAUAGAAUCUUACAAAAACAGAACAGUCUGUAGCAAUCUGCAUCAAACGUAUACUUCUGGAACUCCAAAAAUUCUGAAAUAAAUUGGUGGACGUGAGGAAUUUAUCUAUUAAUUAUCUGCAAAAAGAAUCAACCUAAAAGCACUAUCCAGUAAAAAAUGGCAGCUAAUCACGUGAGCGCUAAAGUUUCUGUUUUUUACAGCAAGAUCACAAAGACUUCACCCAAGUCUUCCCAAAGGUUCUACUUGGCACAAACACUAAUUAAGACACAAAACCACAUCUAAACAGAUGCUAGAUGAAUUAUUUAUUACUAAACAGGAACAGAAAUCAAGGAACAAAAAUAAAAUUGGUUUGCCUCCCAACAAGCGCUAUCGUUUAACGCCCCUAGCUAGGCAUUGAUAAUUUUAAUGAUGCUCACAUCAAAGACAAGAAUUGAAGCACAAAGAGAGCAUCACAAAACACGUGACAAACACAUGUAAUUAUAACAGAGUAACGCAUCGACCGCUAUCCAGCAUGCAUCUAGAGUAUUAAGUUCAUAAGAACAGAGUAACGCAUUAAGCAAGAUGACAUGAUGUAGAGGGAUAAACUCAAGCAAUACGAUAUAGACCCCAUCUUUUUAUCCUCGAUGGCAACAAUACAAUACGUGCCUUGCUGCCCAUGCUGUCACUGGGAAAGGACACCGCACGAUUGAACCCAAAGCUAAGCACUUCUCCCAUUGCAAGAAAGAUCAAUCUAGUAGGCCAAACCAAACUGAUAAUUCGAAGAGACUUGCAAAGAUAUUAAAUCAUGCAUAUAAGAAUUCAGAGAAGAAUCAAAUAUUGUUCAUAGAUAAUCUUGAGCAUAAACCCACAAUUCAUCGGAUCUCGACAAACACACCGCAAAAAGAAUUACAUCGAAUAGAUCUCCAAGAGAAUCGAGGAGAACUUUGUAUUGAGAUCCAAAGAGAGAGAAGAAGCCAUCUAGCUAAUAACUAUGGACCCGAAGGUUUGUGGCAAACUAAUCACACAUCAUCGGAGAGGCUAUGGUGUUGAUGUAGAAGCCCUCCAUGAUUGAUUCCCCCUCCGGCGGAGCACCGGAAAAGGUCCCAAGAUGGGAUCUCAUGGGUACAGAAGGUUGCGGCGGUGGAAAUAGGGUUUCGUGGUGCUCCUGGAUGUUUUCAGGGUAUACGAGUAUAUAUAUAGGCGAAAGAAGUAGGUCGGUGGAGCCACGAGGGGCCCACGAGGGUGGGGGCGCGCCUCCCUACCUCGUGGCCGCCUCGUUGCUUCCUUGACGUCCACUCCAAGUCUCCUGGAUUGUGUUUUUUCCAAAAACGAUCCUCGUGAAGGUUUCAUUCCGUUUGGUUUCCGUUUGAUAUUCCUUUUCUGUGAAACACUGAAAUAGGCAAAAAAAUAGCAAUUUGCAUUGGGCCUUCGGUUAAUAGGUUAGUCCCAAAAAUAAUAUAAAAGUGCAUAAUAAAGCCCAUUAAACAUCCGAAACAGAUAAUAUAAUAGCAUGGAACAAUAAAAAAUUAUUGAUACGUUCGAGACAUAUCACAAAACAUUAUUUUAAAUAACAUCAAACAAAUCCUAAGAAAAUAAAUUGACGCUCCAAGUAAACACAUAUCAUUUGACGAAUGAAAACAUAGCUCCAAGUGAGGUUACCGAUAAUGUUGGAGACGAAAGAGGGGAUGCCUUCCGGGGCAUCCCCAAGCUUAGUUGCUUGGAUCUUCCUUGAAUAUUAACUUGGGGUGCCUUGGGCGUCCCCGAGCUUAGGGUCUUGUCACUCCUUAUUCUCCCCAUAUUGGUAUCUCACCUAAAACUUGAAAACUUCAAUCACACAAAACUUGACGGAACUUUGUGAGAUAGGUUAGUAUGAUAAAGAGUAAACCAUUUCACUUUGGUACUGUCAAAGACAAGAUUCAUAAUUGUUUCCACACAAUGCCUAUCAUUUCCACAAUUUAUAUUGAGCAAUAUAAGCCAUAGAAACUAGCAAACAAGCAAACUAUGCACCGAAAACAGAAUCUGUCAAAAACAGAACAGUCUGUAAUGAUCUACAGAAUAACCAUACUUCUGCUACUCCAAAAAUUCUGAAAAAUUAGGACCACGUGAGGAAUUUGUAUAUUAAUCUUCUGAAAAAAAUAAUCAAAUCAAAAGCACUCUUCUGUUAAAAAUAAGAAUUAUUUUCGUGAGCACAUAAGUUUCUGUUUUUCAGCAAGAUCAACUCAACUAUCACCCAACAUGAUCCCAAAGGCUUUACUUGGCACUUUAUUGAAACAAAAUCAAUAAAACAUGAUUACUACAGUAGCCUAAUCAUGUGAACACAAAAAAAC